RNAcentral lists this long non-coding RNA (50517 nucleotides) under Aquilegia coerulea. RNAcentral describes it as "long non-coding RNA (ACOE_LNC002222)". The stretch from base 11691 to 11761 matches the Rfam family "tRNA". The record is from RNAcentral. Lineage: Eukaryota; Viridiplantae; Streptophyta; Magnoliopsida; Ranunculales; Ranunculaceae.
UUCUUUCUCUUGAAAACUUGUCUGACAACCCACCAAAUCAUUGAGUCCAUGGUUGUUAUCAAUAGUGCUAUGAUCACUAUCUUUCUCUAUUGAUUCAGAUGCAGAACAGUAACCAUCAUACAAGUCUUCACUUGCAUUCAACUUGGCAAUAAUCGCAUCCCUCCGGAUUUUGAAUUCUUUGGGGUGGUCAUGUUUAGCAAGAAAGAUAGCUAUGUUAAUUACAUCAAAGAUAUCACCUUCAUGAUUACUUGUCAAAUAGUUGCGCCAACAGUCGAGAAUCGAACCAUCCAUGUUUUACUAGAUAUCAGAAUCAACAAAACCACAGAAAAGUAUAGGGUGUGAUAUUGCAGCAGGAAAAAGUAAAGAAAGAAGAAUAAGAACUAUGAAUUGUGAUGUUGAAUUCACUACCUAUUUAUAUUAAUGUCUGCAAGUUUCAACAACAGAAACAUAUAUACACAUAUUAGAAUCGAAUUAGUAAAGCUAUACGAGUUUCUAACUUGGAAAUCCCACUUGUGAUCGGAUUGCAAAUCUGACAAGUUUUCUCCAAAUAUGGGUCUAGUAAUAAAACGCCCAUAUUUUUCUCAUUUUGUUUUAGAGGCCCGGCCCAAAGUAUUUGCUUGAUAAGAAAUUGAAUGAAAAGUAAAGGAAAAUAGAGACCAUGGUAAUGUGGUUAAAUAUGGAAAAACAGUGACACUGAUGACUAAGAAACUGUGAAGCUAAAUAUAGAACAGUGGAAUGGUGAAGAAUGGCAAAGAAGAGAAGGCAAAACCAGUGAAAUUGAAGAGAGCAGAAGAAGGAAAGAGAAAAGGGGACUGACAGACAGACACACAUCGUUUUAACUCCCUACCCGACGUAUAAUGGAUCUCCGGCCUACAUUGGUCGAUGAAUCGAGGUUUAGAUUGUAUGGAAACCAUAAGUUUAAUUUAUUCAUGUCGGUCAUAUCUGCCAAAGAAUAACUUUAGUUUACCUUAAAAAUCGCGACAUAUGUUCGGACUUCCGACCACCAAACAAAUUGGAACAUGGGUGGACAAAAGUGACUAACAAAUUUCAUUUCCAUCUUUUCUAAACUUUAUGGAUGAUCUUGAUUAGUUAUUACAUCAUCAUCAUAUAUAACCCUAUUCCCCCUUCUUCCUCGUGAAAUAGACUUAAGGGUUUCACGUGAAGUAGUUCAUCAUAUAUCUUCAUAUUCCUCGUAUGGACCACAUGCAGUACUUGUAUAUAUGAAUACAUAGUUGCCAUUCAUGUCCUUUAAGGUUUCCCUAUAGCUUAGCUAGUUUCUACUUUUCUAGUACUCUGCUCAAUAAUUUCUAUAUAACAACAACAUUAUGAAUCGACUCGCCUUAACAUAUAUAUGAUGGUCCAACGCGUUUGCUCCUAUGUGUUACAGAGUGAAGUUAUGCUAAGUUAUAACAGCAGACUGCACUGGAGGAAACAUCAUAUCACAUUGAUGAGUUGGUUUUUAUUGGGAUGCUUUGUUUGAUAUGUGUUCCUAGAACCUGAUUUUUGCUUUUUCACCAUUUCUUCUUGGCUUUGUAAGAAUGUUUCUCAUUAUAAGCAUUUCCCACAUCUAAAAGUUUCAGACAUAGGUUAUAUAAUAUAUAUAUAUAUAUAUAUACUGCUAGCUGCUGCUAGCAUAUUUAGUGAUUUUUUUUUUUUUGUUUGCGCGGUACCACGGACCAUGAUAAUUCAGGUUUCCAACUCAAUAAUUGAAUGUCAAACCUGCACAAAUAUCAUCCAAAGUUUGGGGGACAACAGUACCCAACAAGCAACAGAAUGUCAUUUCUUGCUUUUGUAAUAUCUUUGCUAUCAAUUUAUCAACUCAGGCAAGAUGCAACUCACAAAGCCAAGAGUGACAGGAGCUCCUUUCCAUCCAUGUAUCCCUGGUGCAAAAGAACAAGGUGCCACGUGCCAGGGAUGAUCAGUGGGAUCAAACAGUGAUGGUGUGGGACAGGUUGCGACCGCAAAUGGCACAUUCUGAUUGACCCCUACACACUGUCAUGAUCUUCUUCACGUGAAGUUCAUCCUCUUUAUCUCAAUUUCUCUAUGGAAUGGACCACGCAGAAUCAUUGCUAAUCGUUUUUAGAUAAUUGGAUUGUCCUACUUUUAACAGACCGAUACAAUAUUAUUGUCCAAUCUUUUAUCACUCAGGUUACCUCCCUCCACUCAAACAAACAAAACAUAUUCAGUUAACUAUGGAAUGCAUGGCUCAAUCAAUCAAAACGUUUUUUUGUUGUUGUAUAUAAUGAAAAGACCGAUCAUCUCCCUCCUUUUUCAUGAUAGAUAAGUCUGUUUUUAACGAUCAGUAACUCAGUAAUGCUUGCUGGAAUGGAAUCCCUGACCUCUGGGGUAUCAUUACCCAAAGGUUUAUUAAUUGAUCGAAUUCAUCGGUUCCUGGCACUUAACUAAGAAAAUUUUGGAAGCCAACCUUUUUUUCUAAUGCGAUCAGUAACCUGGGUGCUGAGUGGAUUUGAACCUCAGACCUCUAACAUCAUCACCCUGAGGCUAUGCCAAUUGAGGUCAGUUGGUACCAUUGCGACUCCUCCAGAUUAACCAAAAAGAACGACAUGAGGCAGACUAUAAUUUUUCAUGCACUCUUUGCCUUAGCAUUUCCACAGCAACAGACCAGUUUUUAAGGAGUUCGUCAAUUGAGUUUCAGAUUGUAUAAGAGGCAGUUUGCAUUUGUAAUUCCACCUAACACAAAAUACCAACAAUGUUUUAUCAUCAUCUUGACUGAUAAUGAUGAAAACCUGUUUUUAUUGCACACUAUAUUUUGCACCAUGAUAUGGUUUGAACUGAUCGAUAAGGAAUUUAUUUGAUGACGUCUCUCACUGUAAUUAUAUAGGAAUUACUUCAACCAAAUUUAGUCCAUAUAUUUUUCUUGGGCACAUGACAGCACUGGUACUAGUUAGAGUUUAAUUAUUGCUAAGGAGUUACUACUCAUCAAUAUGAAGUACCCAGCCUCCUAGCUGUUAGGAAAAAACACAGACCAUUUGUAGGUCUUGUCGUCGUCUAACUUUGCUGCAAAUUCUUCGAUUGAAAUUGUGAACUGCGAGUUCAAAAUUAUUUUGAGAUGAAUUACUUCUGCAUAGGGCCAUCAGUACUUGAGCACCACAUGGUCAUCAUUUUAUCCAAACUUCAAUCUUAUUAUCGCUGAUGCUAAUAUAUAUACACUUUAAACAAAACAAAGGAUUACAUUCAUCGAUCACAUUCAUUCCAAACUACUUUUAUUAAUAUCACAUGGCCAUCAACAACAUGACCAACCUACAAUAAUUCAACAAAGCAAACAAGGGAUAACUAUUGUAGAAGGACGUAGUCGGGUAACUCAAAUUCACCACAAGACCCAACAUCUAACCGUGAAGCCAAGAAAAAGAAGAAGAAGAAGAAUGUCUGAAUCCUCCUACUUAAUAUUCACACCGGCCAAUGAGUAGUAUUACAUGAAUGCAAGAAAUUAUACGAAGGAGCAAAACGUUGUUAUACCUAAUAACAAGUCUCAGCUGCCUUUAAAAAGGUUUCUGAUGUAUAUAGAGUAUAGGCUAUAGGUAAAUUGGAAACCUACUUGUUGCUAAGAGAAGUAACAAGAGUAAUCUCCAAGCCAGCUACUACUACAGGAGGGAGAGGAGAUCAUGAAGGAUUAUUCUACGAGAAACACACGGGCAUAACUGCACACCACACCAUGACAGGAUAGAAACUCAAUUCAUAUCCCGGACACGAAACUUAUUAGGAAUCUUAACAACAAUAUCAUACAUAUGUACUGAUUUGAGUUUUGAGAAAUCCUUAGGAACUGAAAUGAGAUCAAUGGAAGAAGAUUUAUGGAAUUGGAGAAGGUCAGGGUCAUCAUAAUACCUUUCCCAUCCUAAAUUUGUUAAAAUUCGCUCGAGGGAAGAAUAGGAAGAGAUAACUUCACCAGUUGGUUCAUAUACCAAAACCUUUCCUGAUCCUGCUGGUGGGUUUUCGACAAGGCGAAUUACACCAUUCUGCUUGAACACCCACACUCCAGACAUUUUAAUAUAUUACAGUAAAUAAAACAAGCUUAUUAAUAACAAGAAGAAAACAAAUGAUAUGAGUAUAUAUAUAUAUAUCAAAAGUGGGAAUGAAGGACUAGCUAAAAGAGGUUGAGAUGAUGGAUGAAGUGAGAAAUGGAGUUGUAAGAGUUUAUAUAGGGUUAGAAGGAUUUAAUUAAGACAAAAAAAAAACAAAGAUAAAUAUAUUUUGGGAGUGAGUGAGUGGAUUAUAAAGGAAGGUUCAUGUCAUGUUUGGCUUUAGAAGAGAAUCAAAGAUAAUUUGGGACCCAAUUGGUUUUAGUAAUAGAGUACAAUGGUUAAACCAUGUAGGUCAUAUUAAAUUAGGGUACAGAUACCAUGUGUUGGGUGGCUGGUAAAGGAAGAGAAUCUGAUUGAGGCAAAACCAUAAAAUCUUUAAGUUCCACCAAAAUUUGUGGAAUCUGAAACACAUAUUUUAUUGGCUAAACUUUCUUUGUCAACAACAAUCAAUUAUAGACCUAGUAUCAUGUGGUAUGCUCGUGAGAUGAAUUAUGGAAAAGUAAUGCAAAUGUCAUAUCAUAUGAAAAUGUGACAAUCAUUGUACAGUAGGGUUGUUGUAAGUAUAUAGUAUAUGGAUUUUUAGAAAUGGAUCAAUCGGCACAACCAUUAUUCAAAAUCUCAAAUUCCUCGAGAUUUCGACAAGUCUAAAACUCGAGAUUUUGUUUAAGAUCUCAGGUGCUUUUGUUGAGAUGAAUAAGAUUUUUAGCAAAUUUCGACACACAUUUAUAUGUAAUUAGUAUACUUAAAUUUAUUUUUUAAUAGAUUUCUUCUUGAUUUAAAAUAUUUACGGGCAAUAACCCGCAAAUUCAACCAAUUUUUAGUUUUUAAGUUAAUUUUAACAAGAUCUAUAAGUUGAAUUCUACGAGUUUCAUAAUUUCAAAUUUAAACUUUCAUUUAAAAUAAACUAAUAUUUACAAAUUGAUAGUAAUCCUUUAAUUUAUCUCUAAAAAACAAAUCAAAUAAUUUAUUAUUUUUUUUAAAUUAUUAUAUCUCGAACAUCUCAAAUUCUCAACACUAAACAUAUGAUUUCUCACGAUAUCUCAUAAUUUCUCGCGUAAUCUACAUUAUGAGAAAAACAAUUGUACUUCGGAAUUUAUUAUAGUAAUCUACAUUAUGAGAAAAACAAUUGUACUUAGGAAAAAAAAUGUUUGGCACCAUUUUCUUAUAGUAAUCUUCGAAGUUCUAAACACAACCCUAAUUGCAGGGCACCAUUUUCAUUAUGGAAUAUAAUCUUAAUGUAAAAAUCCAUUUGGAAUAACAUUAGAACUGAUGGAUAGCUACUGAUAGUAAAUAGGUUACCUUAGAUGAUUGUUUGAUAAGAAUACUUCUUAUCUUUUCCUGAACCGAUAAAUCCAAUUCUUCAAUUUAUAUCUUCUUGUGUUUAUAAUUGUGGAUUAGUUGUUUGUGACAUUUAGGAAUUAGAAUAUUUCUUAAAGUACACACACAAUGACAGAAUGAGUUGCAUACCCACACCAACUUUAGUGUUCAAAUAAGACAUUAUACAUAUGAACAAUCAAUACACACCAACUUAGUGUUCAAAUGAGAUAUACGUAUGAACAAUACAAUAAUUGGUAUGGUCGAUAGCCAAUGAUACACCUCUAGUUUCGCCUUGCUAACCAGAUCCAUAUAAAAAGGACCAUGCAAAUUCAUUUUAAUCCUUCUAGAUAGUCUUCUACACCCAAAAUAUCUUGUUCCCUAGAUGUUGACACAACGACACAAGAUCAUCUAUUCCAAUGGUCCCUUUUUCAUUGCAGGACCAGCAAUAAAUGCUACGGAACUAUGUGGGUCUCAGUUGAUAGUGUAACACUGGUUGGUUUGACACAAAAGUCUCCUACCUUUUCAAUUGGCAUUGUUUUCUUCUUCUUCAUUCUUUCUUUCUUCUGUGGUACCUGGUGAGUUCCCAGAAGCGAACUUGCUUCGUAACUGGUACCUGGUGAGUUCUCAGAAGUUGAGUUACUCUGACAUCAAUGGUGGUCCUCUAACUUCAUUUCUAAAGAGAAAAAGAUGAUAUUCCACCUGUUAGAGAAAGGGGACUACAAUUAUGCAUGCCAUUAUCCAUCCAGGCUCAUUCCUUGCACACCAUGGUCUUCCUUUAUCAUGCCAUGAGGGCCUGUAGACAUAGAUACAACAUGAAACUGACAUGUUAAAAACACAAUUCGAAACAAAUUGAAAUAAAUAAAAGAACCGAUGGAAUAUCUACAUGGAAAUUCUUCUUGAUCAAAGUGGACCACUUUCAAUCACUCUCUCAGAAUCAUCUAUCGCAAGUCUGUCAAUUACAUAUAUACCCUGUUUGAUGUCAUGCUACGUAAUUCAUAAGGAAUUUUUUUUCGCUGUUCUCCCCCAUGUUUUAACUAAAACUAGCCAUAUCGUUGUGUUUCAAGUGAGUGAACAAGUAAACACCCAUUCACACGUGAAACCAUACAUACACACUACAAAACCAAUACGCAUAAUGGAUAAGUAUCAGUAACUCAGUCAAACACUGUGCUCAACCAGCAUUUAGGCACUUAGCACAAUCAUGGCCAAUUUGGCAUUAUUGUUUAUAAGCUUAAGCCGUAUUUUUAGCUUACACUCAGCGUAGUAUCAAACUGAUGUUGUCAGGCGACUAGAAGAAGCACUGAACGUCAUCUUUUUGUGAAAACUUCUAUGAAUAGCAGUUUACAUGUAUAAAAUAAAGGGAUAAAGCAGAAGCAAUACCAAAUGGGACCUCACACUUUGAGGAAAGUAUAGAUGCUUUUAUACUAGUGAAACAAUGAUGAUGCUCACUUGGCACCAACAUUCCCUACAAUUUGAUUUGCCCUCUCAUAAAACGUGGCAUGGCAAGCCCGCAUCAGCUAGCUCUUCGAUUUUUUGCUUAUCUUUCGGAAUUAUUUCUUCAAAUACUUAAUUCAGAAAAAAAUUGGUGGGGCUGAUUCCCUCAUCCUUCAAACAAGCUUUUGCAUAAUGCCAACUUUAUGACAUUUCAAGUGAGAAUCAAGAGAAAGUAAGUCUCCAUAUUGAUAGGAGAGCUUGGAAUCUUCAUAAACUAACUAAACCAUAUAAGCAUCACAGGCAAAUUCCAAACUCAAUUACCCUACUUUGUGUAAACCUUUUUUAAUCUUCUUUUCAAAAGAAGUAUUAAAGAGUAGCAGCCACUCAACUUUAUUUUUAUUUCUCUAAGGUUUCUCUGGUUGAAUAGAAUAUAUUCUCCCCAUUUAUGGAAAUGUGAAAGAUUUGAACCUAGAUGAAGGGAAGUGCAACAAGUAACUUAGAAACUACCUUUAGGGAAUAUGUUAAAGUUAUAAGUAGGGUCAAAACAAUUUAUAGAUUAGUAGCCUACCUUUGGUUAGUGAGAACAUACAUUCUGAUCAAACUGAAUUCAAUACGAGAAGAAUAAAGUCAGAUAAAAUUUCCAAAAGGAUUUACAAAUGAAAGACGUCUUGCAAAAGGUAUAUUUAAUUCAUAAGCGCAACAUAAGGAGACCCUCAUAGAAAAGAGAAAAAUCAUAAUUGAAAAAUAGAAGAAUAAAUGCAAGUUAAGCAAGGCCAUAUAUUAGCAAGAAACAUCUAAUCAUAUAAGCAAUCAGAAGAGUAAAGAAUGUUUGUCUUACUAGUAGUGCGCAUAUGUACACCAAGAAUAUAAGCAUCAUUACUAACAUAAUCAUAUACACAUUCCUUAGCAAUAGAGGAAUCAUGACCUACCAGUAUUAAUUUUCAUCAAAAAUUUCCUAUCUUAUUAAUGCUAGUUUUUUUAAUCCAAAGACGUGAUCCCAAUAACAAUCGUUCAUAAAUGAGUGUUGGAGUAAAGCCUGUUACAUUGUGCUCCAAUUCUACUUAAUUUUACCACGUCAGUGGAAAAUUUCUACAAGUCUACAACAAUCCAACUUUGUCAUCCUGUUUGUAAAUGCUCGAAUAAGUUCUUUCUGGUACUUAACUAUUAUUGUACGUGUUGAGCUUUGUCUUUGUAGUAUUUAAGCUAUCUGUCUGAAUGAUUUAACAUAUACUUACAAUAGACUCACGCCAAUUUUAUUUUGGAUUAAUGUAAUCAAGUUAUCAAACUACGUAACAUGACAAGAUAAAACCUAACCUAGUGUUUCAAAAGAAUAACAUCGCCUUUACUACAAAGUCAUACAUAACCACCUCUGUUUUGUUAAACAAAGUUCAACAGAAACAUUGCUUCAACCUUUCAAGUGAGAUUUUGGAUUUCUACCCUUGUAUAUAUACUAAAGGCAUUUAUUUUGCUUACUUGAGUGAUGUGCUAAGACUUGAGUGAAAAUCGAUAUAUAUUUGGAAUAAUUAGGCAAAUUUGGAGCAACCAUUACAAUGGUCGAUUUUUCAUACUUGUUUGGUUGAGCCAAUGACAACAUCAAGUCUUGAGCUUUGGCUUAAGUAAAAGGGAUGUGUCUGACUUGUUAUGAGGUCUAAAUUGUCGUGGUCUGGGCCUAGACAACGUGGUUUGAACCUGCUUACAAUAGUGAACAUAGAUAACUAGGAUAUAGGAAUGAGAUUAGAACUGACCAUAUCCAAACCCAUAUAUAAUAAAUAUUAGUGAGGAUUAUGAUAUAUGUCUCAGUCUCAUGGAUAUAUACUUCAUAUAGAAUCUCUCAACAAGGCUAUGCUUUGAGGUAGUAAUGCAGACCUUGCUAUUGACAGCUUAACACCACAAGAAAGUCUUUUUAUAGGGGGCCUUUGCUCUUAGGAACCUAAUCCUAUGCGACCUAGAGGCUCCCAACUUUCCAGCUGCUGCGCGUAUUUGGAGUCUAAGGUUCUUCCUAGAGUAACAUUUUUUUGGUUGUUGUGUGACAUCAUAAUUUGAACACAUUCUUACGUAUAACAACGAACAAAUUAGAAAGAGAAACUCUAGAGAGAUGUUCACGAAUUUUUGUUCCCUUCUGGGGGAUGGGCAAUCAGUUAAUCAAUUAUCGACUCUUUUGUCCCUUUUCUCGCUUUGGGUGGUUCCAUGUAUAGUGAAGGACCUCUUGACAUUGUGGCAUUCAAGUUUGUUCUCUCCGAAAGUCAAUCAGACAAUCACCUUUGGAGCACCAUCCCCUUUGUGGUGAUGUGGGUAUAUGGUUGGAAAUAAAUAAGGACUUUGCUGAAGGGGUUUCUAGGAUGCUCGAACAAGUUAUUAGCGCAAUCAAGAACGCCCUCUUUCAGUGGUCUUGUUGAAAGAAGCCCUCAGAAGAAUCUGUGAGAUAUACCUUUUGAGUGUUGACUAUAUCAUUUUUGGUGGGAGGAUAUUAUGAUUGAUGAGUGGCCUCUGACUAACCUGAUGAUGUACCUUCGUUUGAUAUAUAUAUAUAUAUAUAUAUAGACCGGGUUAGCAUUGAUUAGAUAGCACCACCACUCUAGCAGGGGUUCAAACUUUAGAAAUUGAUCAUACACUGGGUCAACUUCAAUGUUAUUACAAAACUCAAGAUUGGUGAAUGAUCAGUUAUACUUGAUUUAGGAUAUAAGAAUAUAGUGAAAAGUAUAUAAAUUGGACUCUUAAAAUCAUAAGGAUUCUUUGGGAUAUUUUUUUGGAAGUUUCUCUAAUCUAUUGUUACAAAGACUUAACUUUGACUUGAACACAGUAAUUAUCACAAAGAUAUCAAGUUGUUAUAAAGUAAUAAUAACAAUAAGAGAAACAAGUGCGAAACUUAGUAGAUGCUGAUACUUGAAUUUAAAAAAUGUCGCAAUUGUGUACCUUAAAUAAAUCUUCUAAGUUGUGUCUGCAGUAGUCAGCCAUUACCAGAUACGUUAACCCAACUAGAUCCAGGAAUUUUCUUUACAUGUGUAGUGUCCAUCAAUUCUCUCAGCUUUCCAACAUCACCCCAGUUGCUUGAAUCAGCAAAUAUGUUUGAUAGCAACACAUAAGUAGAAGGAUCCUCUUUGUCCAGUGCAAGAGCAUGCUCUGCUGCUCGCUUACCAGCCUCCAGGUCUCCAUGAACCCGACAAGCGCCAAGCAAGGUCUGCCAUACCAGAACACCUGGUCGAACGGGCAUACUUCUGAUUAGAUCCUCUGCUUCUUUAAUCCGUCCUACUCGUCCAAAGAGAUUUACCAUGCACGCAUAGUGAUCUUCUCCAGGAGAGAUGCCAUGGUCACUUUCCAUGGAGGAGAAAUACUUCCAACCUUCUUCAAUAAAACCUCCCUCGCAGCACGCAUAUAACACACAGAUAUAUGUAAUAUAAUUUGGUUCCACAUGCUCUAACCUCAUCUUGUUGAAAAUCUCCAAAGCAUCUCUAGCAUGGCCAUUUUGUGCUAAACCCAUAAUCAUCGUUGUCCAUGAAACAACAGAGGGAUCUUUCAUCAAUUUAAAUACCCCCCAUGCGCCUUCAAUGAACCCACAUUUGGCAUACAUGUCGAGCAGAGCAUUAUCAACACAUAUAUCAACUUCAUCACCUAGCUUUAUCCGCAGAACGUGAGCCUUUUUACCUUCCUCCAAGGAUGCCAAACUGGCACAAGCAUUAAGUGCUGUUGCUAAUGUAAAUUUGUUUGGUUUCACACCUAUUUUUUUCAUCUCUUCAAAAACCUCAAGAGCUUUAUUCGGUUCACCACAUUGUAAGCAUCCAGAAGCCAUUUCAGUCCAAGAGAUCACAUCUUUACUAGGCAUUUCAUCAAAUGCUCUCAAACCUUCAGACAACUUUCUAUUCUUUAGGUACAUGUCAACUAAAGAAUUCCCAACACAUUUUUCAUCGCCAUAACCCUGCUUAACUAGCUGUGCAUGAACUUGUAACCCCAUUUCCAAAUCAGAAAGAACAGCCAAACCAGUAAAAACGCUUGAAAAUGUGAAGUUAUCAGGCUUCACACCAUCAUAAUUCAUCUUACACCAAAUACGCGGGACAUCAGUAUAAGAAUAUUGCAAAUAACCAGCAAUCAUUGCAUUCCAUGACACAACAUCUCUCACUGGGCAUUUCUCAAAAAGUUCCACUGCAUCAACUAACUUCCCAUGUCUCAUCAAUGCAGUCAAAAAAGCAUUAGUCAAAAAUACAUUCGACUCAAACCCAAGUCGAACAAUCAAACCAUAAACUUGAUAAACUUGAAUCAUACUACCUUCAACAAGUGAACAAGCAUGAAGAACACUAACAAAUGUAAACUCAUUUGGGUUUACCCCAUCUCUACGCAUACAUAAAAACAUCCCAAGAGCUUCUUUAGAAGCACCAAACUGAACAAAACCAGCAAUAAUAGAAGACCAAGAAACAACAUUUCUUUGAGGCAUUUCAUCAAAGAGUUGUAAUGCUUUAACCGUAUCCCCACAUUUUGCAUACAUGUUUAAAAGAUGAUUGUGAAUGAAUAGUGAUGAAAGCAAUGAUUGUUUAAUAAGUUUAGCAUGAAUUAAUCUUCCAUAUAUUGAAUUCGAUGUUUCCGUGCAUUUCUUUAAGAUUUCAGAAUACUUUUCUUCAUCAUCUUCUUGUUGCUGUUGUUGUUGGAUGGAGAAAGUUUGUGAUGAUUGGAAUGUGUUAUAAAAAGCUCUUGUUGUUGUUGAAAAUGAAAUGAAGUUGAAUUUGCGAAGAGUAAUUGAAGUUGAAGAAAGCAUUUGUUUGCAGUUGCAGCAGCAGCAGAAGAAUAGUUCAUUUUCUUUGCAUUGAGAAUGAAACGACCGUUAUGUAUAGUUAAGAAAAAAAGGCGCGAUUUUAUGGGAAGUGUUUUCACGUUCUGGUAUAAAUAAUAUCAUAUUAGAAUUUCAAAUAAGAAGCGCAUCUGGUGUAGUGGUAUCAUAGUACCCUCCCACGGUACUGACCAGGGUUCGAUUCCCUGGAUGCGCAAGUUUGUUGUUCUUUUUUGGAACAGUAACAUGUUUGGGUACUGUAAUGUUUUUUUUUUUUUUUUUCAAGGUUGAAAUUAUAUAAAUCACCAAAGUUCAGAGAUACAAGCCUGAUCAGCAGGUGUUAAUAAACCCCGUCAGGUAAGGAACAGCCCAUAAUACAUGGUUGCGAGACCAAAUGAGUUAUUUGUCCUCUGCAUGGCUGCAUCUCAUGUGUUUCCCUGGCUUUCGUUUCUGUUGUCUGCUGCUACCGCAAUAAACAGUACCCUUGGCUUCAGAGAAAACUACUGCUGCUCAGGUACUGUUAUAUGUGUUAAAGCUUUAGUGCUUUACAGCUCCUAUGGAUUUUAAUUGUCUAACCAAAAUUUACAUUGACAAUGUUUAUUUAGAUGACUAGGUAGCCUUCAUUUCCAGAAGGGACGCUUCAAAGUACCGCUCCCUUAAGGGAACUGUUCCGUCGUGGUUGCAAGUUGAUAAGAAGAGUUUUGAGGGGGAAAAACAUGUUUCAAGAUUCUCAAGUGUAUAUAUAUGGAUACAUUGCUUUCAGUGCAAAAAGUGGAGAACCCAUGAGCUUAUGAAAAUUAUGUGCAAGACGACCUCAUUCUUCAGAGAGAAAGUAGACCACAAAUUGGAAUGAUCCUUCAAGCAGAACCAAUGAACUAAACAUUAAAUCUUGGUAUAUUUACAGGUUUCAAUGCUCGUUAAGCAUGAUUACAAAAAUGAGGACUGUGUUGUGAAUUCUUUACUUGAUAUGUACUUAAAGAAUAGAAAAUUGAGUGAAGCUUUGAAAACGUUUGAGGAAAUGUCUCAUAAGGAUGUAAUCUCUUGGAAUGUAAUGGCUUCCGGGUGCUUACAAUGUGGAGAACCGAAGGAAGCACUUGGGAUCCUUGAGGAGAUGAAAAAAGUGGGGGUGAAACCAAAUAAAUUCACACUAGCAACAUCACUUACUGCUUGUGCCACUUUGACAUCCUUAAAGGAAGGUAAAAAGGCUCAUACACUGAGGCUUAAGCUAGGUGAUGAAGUUGAUAUUUGUGUUGAUAAUGCUCUGCUCGAUAUGUAUGCUAAAUGUGGAUGCAUUAAUGGUGCAUGGGGUGUAUUUCGAUCAAUGAAAGACCGCUCUGUUGUUUCUUGGACAACAAUGAUAAUGGGGUUUGCGCAUAAUGGCCAGCCUAGAGAAGCCCUAAAGAUUUUCAAUAAUAUGAGGUCAGAGCGUGUGCAGUACUUUUAUUUGUGUACUUAACGCGUGUAGUGAGGGAGGCUUUAUUGAAGAAGGCUGGGAGUAUUUCUCCUCCAUGACAAGUGACCAUGGAAUCUCUCCUGGCGAAGAUCACUAUGCAUGUAUGGUAAAUCUCCUUGGUCGAGCAGGAAAGAUUAAAGAAGCAGAGGAUCUAAUCAGAAGUAUGCCCUUUCGACCAGGUCCUCUAGUAUGAAAGACCUUACUUGGUGCUUGUCAGGUUCAUGGAGACCUGGAGGUUGGAAAGCGAGCAGCAGAGCACACGCUUGCGCUAGACAAAGAAGAUCCUUCUACUUAUGUGUUGUUAUCUAAUAUACUUGCUGAUUCAAGUAACUGGGAUAGUGUGGGGAAGUUGAGAGAAUUGAUGGACACUACACAUGUAAAGAAACUCCCUGGAUCCAGUUGGAUCGACUUAGCUGGUAAUGGCUGACUACUGCAGACACAACCUGAAGGAUUUAUUUAAGGUAUAAGAUUGCAUCGAUUAUUUUCAACUCUACCAGCUUCUGCUAAGUUUGAUCUUGUUUCUCUUACCUUUAUCAUUAAUUUUAACAGCUUCACAUCAUUUUAAGAAUUAAUUGUGUUAAGAUCAACGGUCAAUCUUUGUAACAAUAAUACAAGGAAGUAAGAAAUUUGAAUCCUAAAAAAAAGUCAAAUGAAAUUGUUAAGAGGGCAAAUUAAAUGCUUCUUAGCAACAAUGUUCUCUGUUUUGUGAAAAAUAUUAAUCCAUACAGUGCAACUUUCACUUUAUAAUAACAGUAAAGUUCAUGUGCUACAACCUUCCUAUAUAUGUCCUAAUGUCUAAAUUCUCCUGUUUCAAACCCUCCUGCUCCUAGAAUGGGGUUGGGAUGCUGUUAAUGGUUCGAUUGAUCAAAAGAAGAAAAUGGUCCCGAUUUUCUUUCUUGUGGAUGUAGUAUAUCAAUGUUUCUAUUACUAUUUUAAAUCAAAUCCCAAAGACCUAUCUUUUUCUUCUUGCAUGUCUAUCUGCAAUUCUAUUUUCCACCUUAGCAUAUUUCUAUCAGACUCUCAUUCCUCACACAAUCAGGUUAGGUCAUUAGGUAUCAAAAUAUUAAACAUUUCUCUCUCUUUUAAGACUCCUUUUACCUGGUUCUAUGUUGCUUUGAGAACAUCACUGCCUCCAUACACAGGUGUGAUAAUUGACUUGUUAGGUUUUUCUUGUAUCUAAUAUUGUUCUCAUGCUCUCUUAUUUCUGUUUCAUUUCAUGAAUGCUAUGUAUUUCAAGAUCUCUUAGAAUGAUCAUGUUUUUCUGGCUGUUGCCGUUACAUCUAAUCCAAGUGAAGCUGUCGAUUAGUAUUACUUCCAUCUCCUGCUGGGGAGGUUUAAAUUUCUCUUAACUUUGCACAAAGCUAGCCCAAUAGCUUACUUUUUCAAAUUGAAAUGAUCCCGUCUCCUUCUGCAAGGUGAACUUUGGCAAUGGGGUAGUUGCAAGUCAGAUAAGUCCUGUUGAGGCCUUGGGCUGCAUGUUCAUAUCAAAGCCUCGUCUUGGUGUUUUCUUUGCUGCAGUAGCUCAUCAGUUGCAGCCACAACCCUCUUCGAUCUUGUCAUCCCCAAGGUGCAUAAGCUAUUUGUAUUUUGUUUUAUAUGUAGGGGCAAGUUAAUCUACACACUGUCUAUACUGACACGAUCCUAACCACUUAUGUAGCACACAUUACAGUGCAAGUAUUUUGUUAGUAAAAUGAGUUUUGAUGACAUCAUAUAAAGAAAAUCCUACAUUAGGUAGGAUGGGGGGAGGGGGUGUGAAAGAAACCUCAAGUCCAGGGUCUCCAGAGUGGUAUAUAAGUGCGGCUGGGACUGGCUCUUGGGCUCAGUUAAAUGUCUAGCACCUAUUGCCAGGAGGGUUAAAUGGCUUACUCAUUAGCAGGCCGCAGGGUGCUCUCUCCUGCUACAUGUAGCAUAGGAGAGAUUUAUGCCGGAAAAAAACAAAAGUGUGUUUGAAGAUAAACUUUGUAAUGCUCAACAAAUUAUAUGCAAUCGUUAAUGUGGGCUGGGUGAUUUCAUUAUUUCACUGCCAGGGGCGCGAGUUAUGAUGGCAAGAAUCACUGGGACGUGUGGGGUACUAUCUUAGAAUCUGUUCAGAUCAUUAGUGUGAGUCUUUCGCUUUAAAUAUUCAAUAUAAGGAAGCUGUUGUUUAAUCUACCUAUAAGCAGAAAGAGUGGAAAAUUGAAGAUAUAAAUAAUAUGCCCUUAGAUUACUUCCUCAUCCUAAGUUCUGUCUUGAAGUCAGACUUCAAAAGUUCUUACCUUAUUCUUAGCAUUUCUUUCUUUCUGCAACAGUGCAACUCAAAGGUUUAAUUUAUCCUUGUUUCUUUUGGUUUUAUUCAAUCCACUAAAGGUAAUUUCAGUUUAAUGGUGAAAUAUUGAUACCCAUGAACUUGUAACCCCAUUGAAAGAUGAGCGAGAGCCCCUAAACCAGUGAGAACACUUGAAAAUGUAAACUUAUCAGGCUCUACUCCUUCAUGGUUCAUCCUAGACCAAAUACGCGGAAUAUCUGUAUAAGAAUUUUGUAAAUAUCCAGCAAUCAUUGCAUUCCAUGUAACAAUAUCUCUGUUUGGGCACUUGUCGAAAACUUCCACUGCCUCAAUAAACUUGCCAUGGCUGAUCAAUGCAGUGAGAAAAGCAUUUGUUAAGAAGACAUUGGACUCGAACCCAAAUCGAAUUAUCAUACCAUAAACCUGAUAAGCUUGAAUCAUACCCCCAACAAGCGACAUACCAUAAACUUGAUAAGCUUGAAUCAUACCCCCAACAAGCGAACACGCAUAAAGAACACUUCCAAAUGUAAACUCAUUAGGCUUCACCCCAUCUCGACGCAUCCGAAAAAACAUGGAAAGAGCUUCCUUAGGAGACCCACAUUGGAGAAAACCAGCAAUGAUGGCAGACCAUGAUACAACAUUUCGUUGAGACAUUUUAUCAAACACUUGUAAAGCUUUAUCCAUGUCCCCACAUUUUGUGUACAUAAUGAGAAGAUGGUUCUGAAGGAAAUGAGAAGAUGGUAAAAACUGCUUAACAAGUUUACCAUGGAUUGCUCUUCCAUGGUUUGAAUUUGAGGCUUUCGCACAUUUCUUUAACAAUUGAGAAUACUUCUUCUCUUCUUCUUCCCUAAUGAACUUGUAUUAAGUAUAAGCCCUUCUGUGAACUGAAAUGAACUUGAAUUUGUGAAGAAUGGUUUUUGACAAAAGCAUGUCCCUCGACAGAAAACAACCUCGAAGUUAUCAAAAUUCAAAACUAGUCUUAUUAUAUAUACAUUCCACACCGAAACAAGGAAUGUUCAAAAGGUAUCUGGUUUCUCAUAUUUGUUGUUGACAUACAUAAAAAAUUACAUUAGGUGUUUGCCUACCCAAUAAUAAAUACCCUUACACCGUCACAUAUGUAAAAUACAAUAAACAAAAAUCUUCCUUAUGGGGAUAUUGCAAAGAAUUUUAGACCAACAAGUGCACACUCUUUAAUCGGAGAGGGCGAAAAGCUGGGAUGGAUCUCCUAUAUAUGAUACUUUGACAGGCAUUUUACUUUUCUUCUUUUCUGGCUUCAAUGAAGCAAGAAUUACCAUACAUCACGCAGAUACCUUCCAUCCAUUUGCAUAUUCUUUACCAUAAGCUCAGUCUUUGAGUUAUCCAGAGAUCCCUGAAAGCCAAAUGUCCAAUGUAUUUGCUGUUAGUUGCAUAAUUUUUCACAUUUUAGUAGUUCAUAACCACCACAAUAUAAAUUUAAAAUGAAACCUAGAAUUAUGACACAUUUUGCUACUAGCUUAUCACAUCAGAUCCAAGCACUGUCCAUGAAAUGUUCGCUUCUUGGGAACACAUGAGAUCUAAGCUUCAUGGUUGCAAAACAAGAAUACUUAAAUAGACGAAUGGUAGUAGUGAUUUGAAAGCCAACCACAAUAAAGAAGACGAGAUAGUUGUUGGGCUUAAAAUGCCAUGACAUAACCUCCUGCCUAAACACUGAUCUUGUGACCACGACAAUUUUUCAAGUAGCUAUGGUGGAAAUUUUUGUAGGUACAUUAUACAUGUGUGUCAGUGAUACGUAUUAAAAAAUUCCAAAUAUUAUUUUCCUUCACAUGUCUGCCACUAAACAAUGAUACUGCCAAACCACAAGUCCAACCAUCAAGUUCCAAGUAAAUGAAUCAUACCUGCUCCUGGACAAUGGUGUGAAGAGUUCGGUGGACAUCCCUGGCCAUGCCUUUUGCAUCACCGCAGACAUAAAGAUAACCACCCUGAGAAAUCAUAUUCCAGAUAUCCGAGGCCUGAAAAACAAAAUUUUCCAUGUAAAAAUGAUUAAUCAUGCCUAUCAAAAAGAAAAAAUUGACUAACCACAAAAUACACCAACAGAAGGAAUAAGAUGGAAGGUGCAUUUAGUAAAUUACCCUCUCCGUCAUCUUAUGCUGCACAUAUUGCUUAUUAGGACCCUCCCGUGAGAAAGCAACGACUAGCUCAGUCAGUGCACCAGCUUCAACAAAGCUAUUCAACUCCUCUUCAUAGAUAUAAUCCUAUAUUAUACAGUCAAGUCAAAUUAAACUCCGAUAACUAAUAUGGGACCAGUGACAACCAAGUAGCUGCAAAUGAAUUUACCGUAUUGCGGUUUCUGCAACCAAAGAAGAGGAUUGCAGGUCCCAGUUCUGUGCCGGCUCUUUUCAGAGCUAAACGUUCCUGAUUCGAAAUACAGAAAUUGUUAGUUGAUGCUAUUCGGUAUAUCGUAAACGUCAAAAAGAAAGGAUGGUGAUGGCAUAAAUGACGAACCUGUAAAAAUCCUCUGAAUGGGGCUAAACCUGUGCCAGGACCAAUCAUGAUAACUGGCAAGGUUGUUUUAGUUGGCAAUCUAAAGUUGGAUUGCCUCACGAAAAUGGGUGCCGAGGUGCAAUCAGAGCUUUCAUCUGAUGGCACAGAAUUCUGUAAAAGACUAGCAGUUAAUAUGAUGCAGAUAAACUCCAGGUAACAAAACCGUGUUAGUGUAAAACUGCAAACUCAUAUGCUCAUCAUGAUGAAAUAAUGUAAAAGAAGAUAUAUGCAACAAAAUGGCAGACUAUUAGAACAUAUGUUGUGUAAGUGUAAAGGAGUUUGCUUGCAAAUAGUUGGUUGUCUAACGUCCAUACAUGAACACUUGUAUAUGACACUCCUAAAGAGUUGAAACAAUUUGUUUCGGAAUUUUUGACACAAAAUUGGUUGAGUUUGCAAAGUACAGUACAGGUGAUCCUUUUAAAGUUGACCUAAGGAAUUUAUAUUUUGGACAGAGGUAUUUUCAGUGAAUUGAUCUUACAUAAGAUGGCUGAUCAAAAGGUCCAAAUGACCUCAUUAGCUAGUUCUCCAUAGCUAUUUUGUCAUGCAAAACCAGUAAAGUUUUAAAUUGAAUAGUAACAUCAACUGGAAAAAAAAAAUUAAUUUCCAAAAGGACUGAAGUAUUCUCAAUCAUAACCUAGAGCACUCAGUCCUCAAUUAACAAUAUAUUUGUUAAGCCCUACACCAAAUAUGUCAAAUAGGAAACUCAUAGAAAGGAAUUUACCUUCAUCCAAGUUGAGCACACUCCUUUGUGAAUACGACCUGUUGGUGUUUUCUCAUACACCAAUGCACUUGUGACAUGGAUUCUAGUUGGUGCUAUCCUGUAACAAGUCAAAAUUAAGACAAUUUUAGAAAAGACAUAAUAACAAUCCUUUUCCAUGUAAUUUAUGAAAAUCAAAUUUUAUUGGACUGGUCUGGUUCUUCACUAAAGUAAUAGACCUUUGAGGUGGGAGACAGACUCAAGAUCAACCCACCCUACAGUCAUAAAUAUGCUGAAAACCUUCAAGGUUGAGGUGCUACAUUUCAUAUUGUUGAAAUUCCCUUCAGCAAUCACCACUAAUAGUAAUAACACAACGAAUGAAUAGCUAAGCUUAUUCACCUUGGGGAUGAUGAUAUGGAAUAAUAACGGGGCUGCAACCGAGGAGCUACUGCAGCAAAGAAAACACCAAGAGGAGGCUUUGCUGAUGGAAAUUCAGCCAUAACCUCAAGGAGACUUCUCUGACUUGCCACUACCCAUUGUGCAUAUUCAUCCUGCAGAUAGGAAUAUAGGUUCACUUUUAUACUUUGUGAAAAACAGAAGUAAGCUACUGGACUAGUUCCUUUACUUGUUUAUUGAAGUUUAGAAAAAUUCAAACCUUCCCAGCAGGAGAUGCAAGAAAUCUUAAUCGGUCAGCUUCACUUGGACUAGAUGCAUGAGCAGCUAAAGCCAUGAGAGCAGCCUGAACAAGAUGAUUGUAUUUACAACUAAGCAAUCGAAAUAUACAUAAUGUUCGUGAAUUUAAAAUGAACAAAGAAGCACAUGAAUUCACAAUUUAAGACAAUACCUUUUUAGGGGAAUUCAAAAGAUCUGCAUAUAAGGUCAGUGCUGUUCUCAAAGUGCAAGGAGAUGGGAAGGGAGGUGCCAGCGUGCUUCCACCACGUGGAGUGCCAUCCUCAUUAUCAGUAUGGAUGGAGAAGAAAGUAUCUGGCGAGUAACCUAGCAACUUUUCUGCCUCUUCCACAUACUCAACACCAUUUUCGGAAUAAACGCCAACAUGGUCUCCUGUUUCAUACCUAGGAAAAAGGGAGAAUAUGUGCAUUUUAGCUCACUCCGUCGAAAAGUGAAAGUCAACUCAGUAAACCACCACAUGGAAGAAUAGCAGUAAUCAGCAGCGCGGCAUUUCAAAUAUAAUAUAACUUUUCUUUUACAUACAGAAAAUAUAUAAGAGAUUAUCAGAUAGACUUACAUAAUUCCAGUUCCAGAGAUGUUGAAUUCCAGAUGAAUACAAGAACGAUCGGAAGCAGGAGUAUGAAGCUCCCUCCUCACAGCCACAUUGGCCCUUCAUAAAAGGACAAAUAUUAGUCUAUAUUUGAGGAAUGAACCAUGUCAUAUUAACUUGAAUACUGAAGUACAUCCUGUAAAAAUUAUCUACUACCUGCGUGGAUGCUGAGCAUCAGCAGUUGUGUGUCCAUUUGCAUUACUCCAGUUCUUGUCCUGUGGUGAUGCAUCUGAAGUGUUGUGAAAUACAAUGCGGUAUUCAGGUACAGCUGCAGUAUAAGGAGUAGAAACACUUGUUGCAUCGUCUUCGUCCAUGAGUAACUUAUCCAGCUCAGGCCACAACAAUUCACGCCUAGCACAUAAAUGUAAAAUCAGGACAAAAAGGAAACUCUCUAAAACAGGGGAAAACGAAAGAAAACGGAGUCCAUUAGAUUCAACAGGUGAGGGUGUUCUUUGCUUACCAUGCUGUAAAGUCGUCCUCAAUGCAUUGAUCAUCAUCUCCAAGACCCACUGGAACCAGACGCUUCCCACCUAGCAAAACGAAAAAAUGUGGCAUCAGCAAUAAGUAAAACAAGUUUUGGUAUUUGGAGAUGACUUUAAACAAACGUGCUUCCUUCCAAAAAAAGAAUUCGUCAUUGUGUAUCAUGGUCACUUUAAAUACGUUAAAUUUGGAUUACAAAAUAAAUUCAUUAAUACUAGGUGAUAAGCAUCAGGAAUUUUAUAAAGAAUUUUAAGAUCCAAUUAGACUUUGAAAAUUAGUCAAAGCAACCAUAGAUAUAUGUUAUUUGCAAAGAGAGGCAACAGUUUGAAUCUUAUUAUAAAAUAUAUAAAAAGAACACAAAGACAUAUCUUAGGUUCUAGUUAUGAAAUUUAGGUCAAGAUGCUUCAGAAACACAAAAGCCAUUACAAAAAUAAAACAGAAAAGCACACCUCAGAUACAAAAAUAAACAUAACAAAAUAAGGGACAUAUAAGCAUUCAUGAGCUAAUCAAUAAAUAACCUACUUUCUUCAUUAUAUACCCAAGUUCCCUUGAAGUCACAGCUGCAGCAUGGGAAAAAGCUACCUUCCCAUGAAAUAUCAUGUGUGUCACAUAGAAUGCUACAUUGCACACAUCUAAAGCUACUCUAAUAAGGGUAUCGUAUAAAUUUGUGUGAUCUGCAUGAAAUAGGAUUCAUAGGAUGCUAAGUAUAUUAAACGGAGAAAGGGAAAAGAACUUCAUACAAAAAAACUUUUCAGUAAACACACAACGUGACUGAUGGUAUGUGGAAUCAAGAGGAAAUAUAAGUUGGAGACACCCAAUAAUGCUUUCCAGUCAUGUAAUGGCAGUCUAAGUGUCAAACUUGAAGAGGAUAUUAAUAACAGAAUUAUACUUUAACAAUGCAUAAUGCACAUAUCACGCUUCGAAUUAAUGACCAGUAAAUCUCCAUACAACAAUAAUGAAAGAUAAGCAACAACAUACCCUGUUCAGCAAAGAUGUCAUCCACAACUUUUGCAACCUGAUCCCAAAAUACAUAAAAUAAACACGCUAUUAGCAAUUUCAAUAUAACAAAAACAUAGAAAUGAAUAGAAACAGAUAAUUUUUAACUUAAUGGGACAAACAUGAUAGAGAUCUGUUGCAUGCAAAAUUGGUGCAGAAAAGGCAAUGAAAUUUUGAAGCCAUUAGAUGGCAUACACUGAAUUUAAAAUGUCAUGCAUAUAAAAAAAAUCUAAUGUUGUAUGCACGCCUUUUCUUGCAUGUGAUAUGAAAGAAUAUAGCUCACUACAGCUAACUAUGAAAUCCAAUUGUGAUCCCCUAUUAUUUUCCAAACCAGAAAAAAGUAACUACUCUACCAUUUACAGAACAAAAGAAAAAUUGCAAACCAAACAGAUCCUGACUUUCCAAUCAGACCUUAUUGAAAUGCUCGUACUGUCUGUUCCCUAGACCGAAAACAGCAAAGUCGAGGUGUUGAAGCCAAGGCUCCUUCUCUUUUCCCUGCAAGUAACCAACAAUCAGAUAUAGUUCUCUAAAGUGUUGGCAGUGGAGAAACUUAACGCAUAUGAUUAGAAAAACAAAAAAGGAAAAUAAAUUUCUUUCAACUUACUUCACUAAACCAUUUAUAAAACCUUGCAGCAUUAUCGGUAGGUUCGCCGUCUCCAUAUCUACACAUUUACAAAACAAGUAACCAAAUUUGAGUAACUUACACAUAAAACGACAAUAGUGAAUCAAACAUUGAACUAUAAGAUUCUUUCAACUAAUUCUCACUUACGUUGCCACAAAGAAAAGUGCUAAACUUUCUUUCUUCAAUUUCUCUUCAUACUCAUCAUCAUCUUGUGCAUAAUCAUCCUACACCACAUAAAUAGUGCAAUCAAUCUCACUUACAAUCAAAAUUCACUAAUUUCUCAAAUCUAACUCAUCAAAGUAUAAAUAAUUACCAGAUCAAUUAUCUUGAAGUUCGCUUUCUCAUAUCUAGCUUUUGCUUCCUCUGCAAGUGCCUGAAUUCAUAAUAACAAACUCAAUAAAUUAAUAAUUCCAAUCCACUCAACACUAAAACGAUCAAAUUAUUACUAACCUUUGCAAAACCUUCAGCAGUACCAGUUUGAGUACCAAAGAAGAUAGUAACCUUCUUCUUACCAUCAUCAACUUCAAUUUCUUCUUUUUUCACAGUCAAUGGUUUUAUAGGUUCAAUAGUUUUAAUAGAUUUCUGUCCUCCUGAUGAAAAUCUUCUCCAUACAAAAAGAAAUACACAACCAAUCAAAACAGCAAUCGAAGUAGUUAAAAUCAUUAAAACUUCUCGAUUUUCAACUAAAAUCGAUAUAUCCAAUGGAUCAGAUUUUCCAUUAAGUAUAGCUGACAUAAGAUCAAUCGCAGAUAUCUUCACUGCUUCUGAUUGCAUUUUCAAACUCAAUUCAACAAUCAACAAAUUCAAGUUCAAAUCAAUCUAACUCUACUGAAUUGAAUGAUCGUCAACAACAAGAAGAAAGAAGAACAAGAAGAAGAAGAAGAAAGAAAGAUCGUUUAGUUGAGUUUCUUUUCUCUCUCUCUCUCUCUCUUUUAAAGUAGCAAUAAGUUAGUGAGAAGAGAGAGAGAAAUACAUAUGAAUGUGAGGAGAGGAAAGAAGAACGUGGUGAGAUGAGUGAGAGGGAGAAGGAUUGAAGGAAGGGAGAGAGGGAUUUAUUUUUGCAGCUCAACCGAAUACAACGCCUACCAAACUCGACUGGUCAAUACACCUACCACAAUUAACUUAACCAUGAUUAAGAGUUUAUGUCUUUGGUUGUUUAGUGAUAUUUUUAAAUUACUAAAUUACCCUCACUUUUUUUCAAGUCAAAACUUUCUGACGUAAUUUGUUCCUCUACUGUUAAUAUUCAAAGAAUGCUGAGUUUGUUUGACAUAGAACAAGGCAUGCGUGUGGCACUCACUAAUUAUGUAUUCUCUGGUCUAAAUGUAUGUUUGAAGUUUGAACAGGUUUGAGGUUUCUCUUCUCUUUUUUGUUUGGUUUCUUUUAGUAUUAUUUUUAGGACAACAUGGUUACUUCAUCUUGUUUCUUUCUUUCCCAAAACUCUGCUGCAUGAUUCUGUAGAUUUUUAGUUGAUACCUGGAAUUUUCUUUUAUCAUCAACAAGUUCUCAAGAUGAAAACUGUGAGCAUUAUUUUCAAGUAAUAUGUAUAUAUGAUUCAUAACGGAGAAAUGUCAUUGUUAGAAAUUGUAGAAAAACAUUGCAAAAAUACUAUAUGUGAAACCAUUUGGGCUAUGGUACUCUAAAAUGAUAUGUGUCAAGAGUAAUUCAUAUUAUCGCAGUUUAUUUGAAGCUCUUUAUAUUACUGGUCAUAUUGUUGCAUUCCAUAAUGAGUAGGGGUCUGAAUGGUAAAGAAAAGAAAAAACAGCUCAAAUACAGUGUGUUUUUUUUGUUUUCAGAAACCCAUAAUUGAAUAAAUAACUAUUAGUAUGAAGGGAAUUUUGGUAAUGCCAACUCACAUGAAGCAAAAACAAAUACUUGCUUCAAGCUAAACAUAGAUAGUCGGCUUUCUGCUCAUUUUCCAAAGAUAUUUGAAUUAAUCCAUAUCAAACUUAGAUACAAAACUGAGAUAUAUAAGACAGCCUUACAGUCAGAAAUAAAAAUCUAAUGGAAAAAAAGACACUGGAAAUUUUUGGUUCAUAGUACACUGAUACUCAUAUGUAAGAAGAGCAUUUCCAAUGGUUACUGAUGGUCUACAGUCUACACAACUAUAUACAGCAGAACCUCUUUAAAUUAAUAGUUUUGGGACCUAUGUAAUUUUUUUUAACUUAGAUUAUUAACUUAUCAAGUGUUCAUUUAGCUACUUACCGUGUAUAUACUUAGAGAGUAUAUUAAUGAAUCAAAUAUUAAUUUAAUAAAAAGGUUCUACAGUAUCUACUUCAUAAAUCAUGAUGCAUGUGCAGAGAGCAACAAGAUAUCAACCCUUCACAAGCUUCAGUGUUGGGUCAGAACUCAGUAGCGGCUCGCAAUAAAACCCCAGUGCCAAUUAUUGCCUCAUUGGUCAUUUCUUCUAGACCCCAAUAGAAAAUAUUGUGGGCUCCCAACAGAUAUGAUUCUAACCAGUAAUAAUUCUGCAUGUAACUCGUGUGGAAAAUAUUUCGCCUCUUCUCGAUCUGCUUCUCAAAAUAAAAAAAAAUAUAUAGAUAUUACUUUGAUAACAUCAUGAUUCAUGAUUGAUCGUAAAAUCCAAAUCAAUUUAUUUGGGAUUUUGGGUGGUUGAUCAAUGAUCAUGAAGAAAAAAAAAAUAAUAUAAUUACUGAUUACAGAUUGAGCAUAAUACAGUUUACCAUCUAGAUACAUUAUGGCACCAGCAUUAUGUUCUACUAAUAAAUGGCAAGAAGAAAAUGAUCAUGGAUUCAUGGUUCAGGAAAAAGGUGCAGAAGAUUGUUGUAAACAGAAAAACAUUUCAUGUUUUCUACUACAGUAUUAAUCCAUGAGCAAUGGAUGACAAAUACUCAAAUAAGCAAUAAUACAUGAUCACAAAUUAAAUGCACAAACACCCAACUUCAACAUCACUACUUCAUGGGGAAUUCAGUGAUUGGUGGAAAAUGAUGUGUGUGACGUAGUAAACCCUGGACCUCAAGGUUUUGUGGAGAGUAGAUUGUCUAUUUUUAGACGUUUUAAAUGCACAAACACCCAACUUUAAUAGACGUUUUAAAUACCUACCUACCCAUAAAUCAAAAAUAAAGUGAAAACAAUAUACAGUAUUGUACCUGUAUAUAUGUAGUAUUAAGUUGUGAAUUUUGUCUUCAUAAAAUAAAUUUUUAAUAUUAUUGUUUUGUUUAUAUUGUAUGUAUAUACCCAUUACCGAAUUCUGCUACUCGGAAUGCCAAACACCGACUUCGCACUUGUUUCACCCGACCUCGUAUCUAGUCACACUUCACUCAUCUCCACUCAAUCAUAAUCCCACUAACUCGGUAUACAAAACACCGACUUAAUGCUUAUUUCAUCCGACUUCGUAUAAAACCACAUUUCCUUCACUUCUGUUCAAAUCAUAAUCUCAUAAAAUAUCCGAGCACAUCCGACUUGGGGCUAACUCACUCUGAACACCGAGUUCGACACAUUCAAACUCCAAAUCAUACGACAGUUACGAAUCUAUCUCAUUGAAUCCCUGAAUAUCCGCAUACUUUAUGAUUCGAACGUUGAGUCAUUAUUUGAUCCACAACCUAAGCCACCUAUAAAAGGAACUACGUUUGGCAUGAUUCUGGAUCGACCCCUUCCAGAUACGUAGGCAGCUAUCAUCGCUCAGAUAGUUCAGCCACUCUUCUUCACUCAAACCUUCCCUUUUUCCGAUCAUCUUCCCCAACUUUCCGGUAUCAAAUUUACACCACAUUUACAUUGGCGCCGACUGACUGUGAACGAAUCAUAACCUGACGAAGACCAUGGCCGGAAUCACACAAGAGCAAUUUGAGACAUUCCAACGACAACUCAAUGAACAACAGGAGCAGAUCAACAAAUUACUAUCUGAAAACGCUCAAUUGAAAAGCUCCACCAUCCCUCCGGCAGCUGGCCAAGCAACUGAUGAAAUUAACACCAACAACCCCAUCGUCAUACCCACUUCCAGCAACACCACCGCCCCUACCAUGGCUGAAAUGCAAGAAACUCAUAACCGCCUCCUGCAACUUUCUGGUAAGGCCAACACUGCCCAAAAGGUGGCCAACACCACUUUAGAAAAAUAUAGGACAGAGCCCUUACACGAUGACCUCCUUCAUCAGGAACCACCCCCACACUUCAUCCCCCCUAAGUUCACAGCCUAUGAUGGAAGUGGUGACCCCAUGGACCACGUCCUACAAUUCAAAACCAGCAUGGCACUGUGGCCCAAGUACAAGGACAUCUUCUGCAGACUCUUUUCUGCCUCACUCCGAGGUAGUGCUAUCGACUGGUACCACCGACUUCCAGAACGCUCAAUCACGUCGUACGACCAGCUCGAGGCACUCUUUGUCACCCAAUAUAUCCACAACAAGCGGCGAAAAAUUGAGGUAACUGCAUUAUUCCGACUUAAACAGGGUGACACCGAAACAACCAAAAAGUUCAUGGCUCGCUUUAAAAAGGAGUGCCUCAAGGCAGAUAGCCCAGAUGAGAACGCAUGCCUGUUAGCGUUUAUCUCGGCCGUUCACCCCGAAACCGCUUUGGGGAAAAAUAUCAUCUUAGACGCACCACAGACACUGAAGGACCUGUAUAUCCGUGCUGAUAAGUACAUUAAACUUGAAGAGGCAUUGGCAAAAACAAGAGAACAUGUCUCUGCCGUACAGACAGUCGAGUCCAAAAAUCCUGAGCCGAAAACAACAACAGGUACCUCCCGAGGAAAGCAAUCUAACAGCUCGGUGAAACACAGGUUUCCUAACCCGUUCAAAUGUUCAUAUACGCAACUAUAUGAACUAAUCAAAGAAGAAGAUUACUUCAAGCCAACAAUUCAUGAGCUUGAACCCAUUGAGGAAAACCCGUACUGCAAGUUGCAUAAAUAUCGACAUCAUGCAACAGAAGACUGUCGGUAUCUCCGAACUUAUUGCCACAAGCUCAGGAUGGAUGGACACUUGAAUGAUUUCUUGGCAGAGGAGUCUGAUGACCUCCGCCAGAAGAUUAAUGAUAAGCGCAAGAGAACAGACAACGCCUCUAAGGCAAAAGGAACAAUAAAUAUGAUCAUGGAUACUCGUCCACCUGAAUGGACAUCCCGAGCUAAGCGACAGAAGGUGAAUCAUAUUCACCACAUAUUUCAGCUCACUCAUCAGGCAAUAAUAGCCAAGCAGGUGCAAGGAAAGAAUGCACUGAUCUUUUCUGACCACGACUUGAAGAAGGUAUGCUUGCCACACAAUGAUGCACUAGUUGUCCAUAUCCGACUUGGUGGAUGGACCACUAAGAGAGUGUUGAUAGACCCAGGAAGCUCUUGUGACGUAUUGUUUAACAAAGCUUUCGCUCAGAUGCUUAUGCCCGACUCGGUCCUGCAGACCCCCAAUGUCACUCUCUUCGCUUUCAACUCGACAGAGACAACGACAAAAGGUCAGCUUACCCUCCCUGUCGCUACAGGAGCGAAUGAGGAUGAGGUUACAGUUGAAUGCCUCUUUUAUGUCCUCGAUGUCCCGACGCAGUUCAACGCUAUACUGGGUCGGAAAUGGAUUCACAAAAUGAGAGCCGUUCCAUCUACAUACCACCAGGUCAUCAAAUUCCCUGGACCUAAUGGUAUAAUGGAACUCCGGGGUGACCAAAUUGAGGCACAUGGCUGCCAUGCCAUUCCUGAGGUCAUACCCCUCCCCAACAAGGAAGCAAAGAAGGUGACAGUCGUUAGCUCUGAAAAGCUCACUGUCAACCAGAUUUCUGAGGCCACUGACGGCAAGGCCAUUACUGAGCCAAAUUCUGAAGCCCCUGACGGCAUGGCCACUACUGAGCCGAUCUCUGAAGCCCCUGACGGCAAGGUCGGUACUGAGCCAAUUUCUGAAGCCCCUGACGGCAAGGCCAUUUCUGAGCCACUCACUGAUGCCACUGAAGGCAAGCUUGUCACCGACUCCCCAACCAUCGAGAAGGGUGAGCCAGUCAACAUAGGCACGGAAGCCGAACCUAGAGUUGUAUAUGUAGGAGCUAAUCUAGAUCCUAUUGUAAAAAAGCAACUCGUUGCAACUUUGAAAAUGAAUAAGAAUAUUUUUGUUUGGUCGUAUAUUGACAUGCCUGGAAUAGAUGUUAAUAUUGCAUGCCAUAAACUUCAUGUCGAUCCAACAAAAAAACCAGUAAAACAGAAGGCACGGAAAUUGGCCCCCCACUUAGCUAAGGCGGUCAAUACCGAGGUCCAGAAACUAAUUGACGUUAAAUUCAUACGAGAAGUCAAAUAUCCUGACUGGCUCUCGAACAUAGUAGCCGUCGUGAAACCAAACGGCAAAAUUCGAGUAUGCAUAGACUUCACAGAUCUAAAUAAGGCAUGCCCAAAGGACAGCUUUCCACUACCAAGGAUAAACCAACUAGUGGACGCUACUGCUGACCACGAGCUCCUCUCGAUGAUGGACGGCUACUCAGGGUAUAAUCAAAUUAAGCUCGCAGAAGAAGAUCAGGAAAAAACAGCAUUCAUCACGGAAAGAGGUACCUAUUGCUAUACGGUCAUGCCCUUUGGUCUACGCAAUGUCGGGGCUACAUAUCAACGACUUGCGACACGAAUGUUCGAGGAUAUGAUAGGUGACACCGUGGAGGUAUACGUAGAUGAUAUGAUAGUUAAAAGUAAACUCAAAUCAUCUCACAUAUCCGACCUGGAGAAGACUUUCAAAAGGCUCCAUGACUUCAACAUGAAGCUAAACCCACAAAAAUGCCUAUUUGGAGUAGCAUCAGGCAAAUUUUUGGGUUAUCUCAUUACGCAACGAAGAAGCAAGUCCAAAAGUUAAACGGAAUGUUAGCCGCACUAAACAGGUUCAUUGCUCGUGCAUCCGACAAACAGAGACCAUUGUUACAACUACUCAAGAAAGGCUCCAAAUACGAGUGGACGAUAGAAUGCCAACAGGCAUUCGACGAGCUGAAACUUUACUUGGAAGUUAUAUGUAGACGGAUCCAAAAAUAAUAACGGAGUCGAGAUAGGUGUGACACUCAUAUCCCCCGAGAAUGUAACAAUCGAGAAGUCAAUACGGCUGAACUUCACCUCUUCGAAUAACGAUGCGGAAUACGAGGCCCUGGUAAUGGGCUUACGUAUGGCAAAGGACAUUAACUUGCAAAAAAUCAAGAUCUACAGUGAUUCUCAAUUAGUGGUAAGUCAAUUACUUGGGGAUUAUGAAACAAGAGAAGAAACACUUAAGUUGUAUCUCCAAUACACGAAGUGCUUGCUAAGCAGUUUUAAGAAAUGGGAAAUCCAACAUAUUCCCCGGGACGAAAACCGCCACAAAGAUAGUCUCGCCUACCUGGCAUCCCAAGUCGACACGGAAACAGCCAGGGAAAUACAGGUCGAAAUAAGAAACACUCCAGCAUACGAAGAUAAAUCCCAUCACGUCAAUACAAUCUCAGACUUCAUUGACAUAUCUAAACAUCCGACUUAAUUUUCAUUUACCCUAAAACCAGUCGCCUGUCUUCAGCCCAAAUGAAAAGGGGCUAUGUAUAUACCCAUUACCGAGUUCUGCUACUCGGAAUGCCAAACACCGACUUCGCACUUGUUUCACCCGACCUCGUAUCUAGUGACACUUCACUCAUCUCCACUCAAUCAUAAUCCCACUAACUCGGUAUACAAAACACCGACUUAAUGCUUAUUUCAUCCGACUUCGUACAAAACCACAUUUCCUUCACUUCUGUUCAAAUCAUAAUCUCAUAAAAUAUCCGAGCACAUCCGACUUGCGGCUAACUCACUCUGAACACCGAGUUCGACACAUUCAAACUCCAAAUCAUACGACAGUUAUGAAUCUAUCUCAUUGAAUCCCUGAAUAUCCGCAUACUUUAUGAUUCGAACGUUGAGUCAUUAUUUGAUCCACAACCUAAGCCACCUAUAAAAGGAACUACGUUUGGCUUGAUUCUGGAUCGACCCCUUCCAGAUACGUAGGCAGCUAUCAUCGCUCAGAUAGUUCAGCCACUCUUCUUCACUUAAACCUUCCCUUUUUCCGAUCAUCUUCCCCAACUUUCCGGUAUCAAAUUUACACCACAUUUACAUUGUUAUUGGUAAAAAAAAAUGAAAAAUUCAUUCACACUUUCAUAGAUAAUUUUGGCACUGACAAAUUCGAUCGGCAUUCUUUUUAUUAAUGAACUAGGAAGCUAGAUAUUUUGGUUUGUGAUUACCAUUGAACUCUUGAUUGAUUAUCAAACGUUGUAUUAUUGUAUACCCUUCUGGCCUUCUUGAUCAGUUCUUCUUCAGUUAUAUUUUAAGUUUGCUUACUGAGCUUGUUUCAUCAGGAGUAGUUCAGGACUGUGGCCAGUAGAUGGAAGGCAUGCAUGAUGCAUUAUGGCUUCUUGUAUGGUUUUCUUACUCCUGGUGUCAAGUGAAGGCUAGUUUAUUCUGCGGAUAUAUCCUCAAUAGCCUAAUCCCUCAGGAUUGCAUGGUAUAUUGGCAUCAAUUCUAUAGCCAUAGUUGGGUAGAGAAUCAUGGCAUGAUAUAUCAGUCUUGUAAUCAUGGCAUCAAUCCCAUUAAAGUAAUUUAUUAUUGCUUUAUACAGUAGUUCAAUAAUUAGGUCUUGAAUUAUUGAAGUGUUGAAGUUGAUUCCAACACUGAAAUUUUGGUCAAAACAUGAUGUGUGGAGCUUCAAUUAUGUAUUGCCCAUGAAAAAAAAGUGCAAUUCCAGUUCCAACUAGUCUAAGAUAAUACAUGCACCUGAUGGGCAGCCACAAGAUACCCAAUAUUUUAGACAAUUACAAUAAUACAUUGCCAUCAGCCCCUGCCCAUUACCAUUUCUUUGGCCAUUACUGACCUUCAACUUUGCAGUCCAUUUUGAUCAUAAUAUUCAUCAAAGUUCUCCAUGUUAUAGUGACAUUUUUUUUUAUAUAUUUAAUAGAACAAUAUAAAGCAUUGAAAAUGAGUGUCAUAAAAAUAAUAUUUUGCCUUUUAAUAUGAGGUUGACAUUUAUUUUUUUGUUUUCCAUAAAUAAUAUUUUGAAAAUUGAAAAUCUAACUACAGUACUACACAGUCGAAAAAUCAAAUACUGUAGCAAUAAUUUUUAAACAUGGGUUGACUUGAUCAUGAACUAGUACGAGUACAAGUAUUUUUGUGGAAUCGGGAAGCAAUGUUUAUAUAAGUCGUACCUUAGAAAAGAUUCAACACCCAGCUUGGUCAGAUAAAUAAUAAGUGUAUGUUAGCCUUGAAUUUGACUUUUUAUUGUGGUCAUAUUUGAUUGGGAAAUGUGAAUUAUAUCAUGGAAUUGGUCAUUCCAGACUUGCAGUCAACCAGAAUGCAGAAACAAAUCACUAAAUAUUUGAAUAAUUUGAUUACUGAACCAUUUAAUAGGCCUACUGUCCACCUAUUGUGGGCAACUUGUUUGGACUUUGGACAUCAAACUGAACCAUGCAAGCAUCAAUGAAUGAAAGUAGUGUGAAUAAUGUCGAGAACAGCUUUGAGAAACAUAUGCAACACAACUGCAAUUGAUGGUGGACAUCCCCAAUUCUUCAUAUCCCCACCACACCAAGUCCCAACCAACAAACAUAACAAAAUUUCCUAUUUUAAUGAUAUAGAUUCACCUUUGAUUGGCUGGAGCCUGGGGGAUUUCUAAUGAGUUUGUAGAAGUCUCUAGAUCUUGUGCUCCCUGUUUUAAUCAAGAGAAAACAGACCACAGAAUCACAUUGUCCACUUCCAGGUGCUCAACAAAAUCAUACUACUUGGAGAUUUAUAAGCUUGCAGAUUUAUAAGCCUGUACAUUGGUAGAUAUCAAGCAGACCACAGAAGAGGUAAAUCCUCUAUACAAAUUUCCUACAAAAUACUGCUAUCCAUGACAGGCAGCAAGCCAGCAAUCUCCCAUUGUUGGUGCUGUCAAUAGAAGAGUUGGUGGGGGAUAUGGUCAUCAGAGAUUUCUUCUACUCAAAAAUACCAGGAUAACUUUAUUUGGUAAAAAAACACAUGCUCAGAUGUUCAAAUACUGUCAUCAAAAUUUCCGAACAAACAACCAAUAAUAUAUGUAAGAACAAACAGAAGACAAAGCCGGUUGUCUGCGGGACAACUGAUAAAGCUAUAAAACUUCUAUGCCUUGACUCGUCCAUAGAACUUAGACUUCUCAUCAGUUGUCUGGAAUCGCCCAUGACCAAACUUGGAGGAGGUGUCUAUGAAUUUUAAUUUGAUUUCUUCCAUGGCAAGCCUUGAGGUCUGCUUCAAAAGUGACUGCCUUAGAGUCACAACACGCUUCUUUGGUCCUACACAGCAGCCCUUUAUCAUCAAGAAAUCUUCCUUAACAAUCCCGUAGUGGGGAAAUCCUCCCAUGGGUGUAAUGUCCUUCUCAGUCCUGUAUACAGAAUACAGAUUUAUAUUAAGUUCGCAUUUUUACUCUAUACUGCAUACAGUUUUUGUUAAAAUGGAUAGAACAAACAUUCAAAUUGCCUCACCUGUCGUACUCAGUGACCGCAGUAUGAGACUCCUGAGCAGCCUUCCCCAGCUUGUAAACCUUCUUAUUCAUCUCUGUACGAUGGUGGUACCCAUUCUGCCCUGCCCUUGCUACAGUGAAUGAAACCCUAGCUGGAUGCCAAGCACCAAUGCACGCCACCUUCCGCAAACCCCUAUGGGUCUUCCGGGGUAGACGAGUAACACCCCAUCGAGUCACCACACCCUCGUAGCCUUUACCCUUGGUUACCCCAAUGAUAUCAAUCAUCUCAUCCUUCUGAAAUACAGCAUCAACAGGGAUGUUCAUCUCAAAGAAACUAUAGGCAAAGUCAACCUUAGCAGCAGUAUCUCCACCAUUCACUUGGAUCUCCAUCAGAUGUGCUUUCUUCUGCUUUAAUCCCUUAAUCUUUCCAACCUAAAUACAUCAACAGAAUAUUGUCAGAGUGACAUACAUGAAUGUUAUCAGGACAUUUUGGAAAAAAAAAAACAGAAAAUAAUAUACCUGGGUAUGAGCUAGAACCCGGAUAACAGUACAGUACUUCUUCAUCUUAUCCAACUGAGAAUGGAUAUCCCUCUUUCCCUCCUCAGUAUUGAACUUUUUUGAGUACUUGGUGAAUGCCUUUUUCUUUGACUUGCACCAGUUCUUGUAGAAUCUCCUCUUGAUUUCCUCAUUGAGAUGUUGAGCCCAAACAGUACACAUAGAACGCAGACCACGUGGAGUCUUUAUAUAACCGACAACACCAACAACAAUCAUUGGCGGUGUCUCUAUGAUUGUCACUGCCUCGCAUGCCUCCUUCUUGUGGAGUUCUGCAUGAAAAAUGAACUUGUAAAUACAGCUAGAAAACUAUAACGUACACAUGCAUAACACAACAAUAAUCAAUUCCAACUGCUGUGGUUUCCAUUUUGUACGGAUGAGGAAGACUUACUGGAUCCAGGCUUUUCAACAUCUCUCACAAUAUGAGUCAUCCCAGCCUUGUAUCCGAGAAAAGCAGUUAGUCUACAUGGCUUCACAGGAUCAUCACGUGGAAAAGCCUUCACUGCAUAUGCCAACAAUAAAAGUCAGAAAAAAAAGGCAGCAUUGCCUACCAAAAAAUACCUCUAGCAAACCUACAGUAUGCAUGACAGAAAACCAAAUGAAUGUAAAUCAUUAGUCAUGCACAAAAUGUCCCUGAAACUUCGUUAACAUGUACAUGUGAGGCUACUAAAACAGCAAGAGCAUAAAAAGAUGAGAUGGUAAUAAAUGGUCAAAUUAUUGAAGAAUCUUUUCAUGCACAAAAUUACAGUAUUUCUUUGUCUACAUCUACACUUUUAUUCUCUAUGUAGGUUAGCUAUGAGUUGCCAAUCUAACACAUGUCUUAUUAUUUUCACUUCAAUUCCUUUCUUUGGUUUUUUUAAUGUUCAUAUUGACAUAAAAGGAAUAGAAAGUAAAAAUAGAGCUUUUAAAACUAUAGGAGUGUUACUUACAAAGUACUCAGAUGUACAGAAACACUUUUGGGACUGUUACUUACCAACUAGCAGGCAAUUUUACUGAAGCUUAUAAAAGUUACUUUCAUUGUUGAGAGAAGAAUUCCAAGAAAUAAAUGUCAUCUAAACGAAAACCAGAUGAAUGUUGUCAACUAAGUGCUCUAAAGCCUAAAUAGUACAAAGGAAACACACACAACACAACAAAAUACACAUCACAUCCAUGCAUGUGCAUCUAGUGCUUUUUAUGAGCAAAAUAUUUUCACAUUAAAAUUCUUUCUUUAACAUUGUGUAGCAAUUGACUUGAAAAGAAUUGGAAACAGUGAUAAAAUAAGGCAGAUAAAACUUCAGAACAGUGAAAGACAAAAUUCACAUAAGAACAAGACAAAAAACAAGAAAUGGAACACAAAGAAGCUGAUUUUAGAUAUUCAUACCAUACACUCAACAAUGAUCUACCAACAGAACAUUAUAUACAAGUACUCCAUUCUACUAUCAAUUUUCAGAAAAGAACAAUAUAAACCAAGUAAUUUGUUAGAGCUCAAGGAAUAUAAACCUUUUCCUCUGUGGCGGGAGGCUCUCUUUCUCGGAAGAAACCCCAGUGAGCCAUGCCUUGGGUGCUCAAACUUGCGAUGAGACAUGCUUCUUUGUUCUUAUACUCUCUCUGCAAAACUUGUGUCAUUACUACUUGGGACUUAAAAUUAAUUUUUACACGGCAAGAAAUACAGGUAAUACAAAAUUUAUUUGUACUAAAAUGUGUAAAAUUCUUUUCUAGAAAAUCGAAAGAAGAUUGAUUAUGUACAUUACAAUAUCAUAAUCAGGGAAUAUCAAAAGACGAUUGAUUGAGUGAGUAAAAGGGGAUAUUAUCUUGAUCAGGGAAGACACAAUAUCAUCACAUGGUCUAAUACUACCAACAUCCAUUCAACAUACAAGCCAACAGAAGAUCUUUUAAGCAGAUAAUAGCAAUUUUGGUGCAAAUUUGACACACAUAAAUUGUACAGUAAAACCAUUCAACCCAUAUAUAGGUGUGAACAAUAACAGUGUAUUACUCAAGGUACUACAAAAGAAAAACACUUCAAAAACCAUAGCAAGAUCCAGAAGUUUCCAUUACACAGCCUGUUCAUUUAUGUAUCAUCUAUUCACUAACAUCACCUACCAUCUAUCAUCAAGCGUCAUAAAAUCAGUCAAAUCCUCGGGAUUAUAAUAAAAAAAGUAGAUGUAGACCUCAACAUUAACACCACUGUCAAUGGCUCAAAGAUUUUAAGUAGCAUAUAGACUUUAGACACAAAAGCUUAAAUUCAAUACUACAUUGAGAAUUAAAUUAACAUCAAUCAGGUCCAUCUGAAGAAGCAGAACAGGUAAAAAAAAAAAAAAUGCAGCAGAAAAGUUAAAGUUGGAAAACAAUAAAUACUUCAUUACACAAGUAAUUUCUCAUUUCACACAGUGCUUUAUAUAAUAUUGGUCCUAUGUGUAAAACCUAAUUACUUAGUAGCUUUCAUCAAAUCCUAAUACAAUUUUAAGUGUGACUUACUUAAACCCAACAUUUUCACCAUACAUUUCCUUCAAUACAGAUUACAUAUUUAUAUACUCACAAGAUCAACUACACGACUCUAAAAUAUGCAAACAAGUCAGAGUUUCUGUUGGUUAAACCAAAACUUUCAUUUUUCACAUAACCAAUACAAGUAUACAACACUAACAUUAUCAAAGAACAUAUUCAUUUACACAAGAUAAACCACAGAAAGUCCAUCACCAUGAUAAAUACACAAAACAACAAAUAUAACAUCCGUUGGUGAUAAAUAUAACCCACAUUUCUAAAGCUAGUAAUUACCAUUGUAAUUGAUUGCAGUGCUUGUAAAACAGAAUCUGAUAUAAACACAAGUUAAAAACUAAGACAUUUUGCUACAAUCAAACAUUCUAAACUAUUCUCAUCAAGUAAUUAAAACAAAUGUUUAUUUGAAAAAACAAAUUAAAAAAAAAAAAAAAUGUCAUUAGAUCUAACUCCUUGAAAGAGAUAAUUAGAAAUGCUUGAAAAACCAAAGGCCUACGACAUUAGAACAUGUCGAUUCUCUGACUCCAUUCUAUUUCAUACCAAAACAUCCAUUAAAAUAAUGGAUUAUGGUAAAAGAGUCCUUUUGAGAUUCCAGCCUUGAUUAAUAAUAAAUUUUAUCCAAGCAAUUUCCAAUUAUCAACUAAUGAAGCUACAUCUGAUCACAUCACUUACAUAUAUUCUCAAACGAUUCAUAGAAACAACAACAAUUCAAGACAAGACAAACACAAUGAUCAUACCUGAAACCCUAAUUGAGUCGCCUCCCUCUCUCUCUCUCUCUCUCUCUCUCUCUCUCUCUCUCUUGCUUUCUUUUAGUGAGUUGAGAUGAUAUGAGCUUUGUGUUCCUUAUAAAGGAGAUUCAAUGGUUUAGAUUGAUUUGAACAAGUGAUAAGAAUCGUUCGAUGUACAAUCUUUCUUUACAAACCCUAAUGCUGGUACAGCCCAUUGGAUCUGUUUUCCUUGAAUUGCUUGGGCUGAAUUUGAAGUACAAUGUCGCUAGUUCAGAGUAUUUGGGCCCAUUUAUUGAUUUACACACUUGUCACUCCUCACUCGUGUGCUAUAUAUAAUAAAAGCAAAGCGUGAUCAUCAAAAUGAUUUUUUUGAUAUAGCGUGAUCAUCAAAAUGAUGAGCAGCUGAUUGAUAAAAUAGCUGCUUCAACCAGAGUUUGGAAUGAUUUACCAAGAAACGAUAGAUAUAUACAAAAUUUCGUCAAAUAUUUGUGAAUAUCCAACAAUAUUUUAGUUAUUGGUUUCAACAUUUUUAAGCCAGACAUAUCACCUGAGCACCAUUAUUUACGACAAUGUCGUCAAAAAUUAAAAAGAAAUAGGUUGCUAAUUUAUCACUCAAAUUAUCCAUCAACAAGAGCAAUCUCUUGGGAAAGUUGGACAUUUUUUUUUUCACCUUUUAUCAAGUGGAGCUGGAGCUUCUCAGAGCAUUCCCAAUGCAAGGUGGAUUUUGGGGGUGGGGUGGAUAAAUCCACUUUGAAACCUAAAACAAUGUCCCAAGGGGAGGUGGAUUUUGAAAAGUGGCUGCCCACAGGUGGAUUUGAAGGUGGGAGAAUCCACCUUGAAAUCCACCUGUGGGUGGUAGAAUCGGACGGCUUUUUUUAAAGUUUAAGUAGUGUUUUAAAGCUUUUGGACUCUCGGACGGCAUGUGACAUGCAGUCCGGAUUUUUAAAAAAAUCCACUUUCUAUACCAAAGAGUCCACUCUGCGUUGGGAGACUACCACCCAGGUGCAAAUACACCUCUCUCUUUGAGGUGGUUUUGCCUAGGUGGACCUACGUGGCGCCUACGUGGAGGUGGAUUUAUCCACCCUGCAUUGGGAAUGCUCUCAUAUAGUCAUAUUAUCAAGUUGGUGUUCUUUAACUAGUUUCAGCGACUUUCCUUGUUGAAAUAUGAAAACGACAAUGAAAACUUGAUGUGACCAUAAUUGAUAAUUCUGUAUUCACAAAACAAUAGUAACAUUACCAAAAAAAAAAAAAUAGUAAUAUCAGUAUGCUUUGAAAAUACAAUGAGGAAACUUAUAUUAUUGAGAUAUACACAUAGUACGAGGAAUCAACAACAUCAACCAUAAAUAAGUAGAAUAUUUAUUUUUAUUUUAAUCCAACACCACUUGUCCAUCAUAUUAUAGCUUCCAGAAGUUAAAAUGCUUCAACAUAUGCAUUUGAUUAUUUUUUUCCAUUUUUUAACUAAAGAAACAACUCCAGGUUUCCUUGUCAUUCAAUACAAAAGUAGGAAACAGAAGGAUCAUUUCAGUCUUUUGUACCUAAAAGAAAAAAUAAAAGAGAUGCUUUUAAGAUAUAUACCCCUCUCUCAAAACCAAAUGUGAAUCUUCCUCUUUUGUGCAUUAACCUUCAAAGUUAUAGAGCAACCCAGGAAGAAAUGGCUACCACAACAAUAGCAGCAGCUGAGCCCAAAGUCACGUGUGUGGCAGAGGACUUUGAUGGUGCUGGUGCAUCGGCAGCUUGAUCAGCAACAGGUGAAGGGGGAGAAGAUGGUGCAUCAGCAGCUGGUGCAUCAGCAGCAGGUGCAUCAGCAGGUGUAUCAGCAGCUGGUGCAUCAGCAGCUGGUGGAGAAGCCUUGGAAUUCUUAGGAGAAGGAGCCUUCUUUGGGCUUGCGGAAGGAGAGGGUGAUGGUGAUUUCUUUGGUGGAGGAGCAGCAGCGGUUGCAUUCAAGUUCUGAAUGCCAUCAGCAAUAAUAGGUGCGCUGAUUUGCAACACUGAGAUAUUGUAAGGCUGAGCAGCGAUUUUCUUAAUAAGUUUGGAAUUAAGGCUUGCGCCUUUGACUGCAGACCCAAACAUGACAUCUCCGCUUUUCAUUUGAGUAACAUUCAAGAACCCUUGUUGGUUCAUAGCAUCACCAGUGGACUGAAACAAUGUGGUGAGAAGCGAACUCUUCUUUGAGAGCUUGGACAAUUUAGCCUCAUCAUAGUAGUCAAGUACCACAUGAUUACCCAUAAUCCUUUUAAUAACAUCAGUCGAUCCUUGUACACCACCCAUUGCAUCGUUAGCGACAGCGAGGACUGUAAUGGUUUGUCGUUUAUUGAUUUCAUCGCAGAGCUUAGUCUGGGUAAGGUAGUUAUUGAAUGUACUGAAAUCAGGAUAUGUAUCAAGAAUCCUGGUAAUGUUAAAACAGGUUGCUGAAGAGACGAGGAGGAAGAAAGAAAGGCAAAUGAGAGAAGAGGUAGCCAUUGUCUAAGUUUAUUAUAUGGAUUCACCUACCAAAAUGAGUCAAUUAGCAUAAGAGAAGUGAAGGGAUCAUAUAGGGAGACUUGUGUCUAAAUAUGGUCAUUUACUUGGAUGAUAAAAACUAAUUUACCUCAACAGAUGGUGAACCAUCAUUAUAUGUACCAAAUUUGACUAAUUUAUUGAUUGGUUUAAACUAAGAAUAGAAAAAGAGUUGAUAAGGUCCUAAAUUGUUGAUAAUUUGACUGAGUUUUCCUCUUGUCCACACAGGUUGCAACGAUUGUAACAAAAGAAACAGUUUCCAACAUAACCAAAGAAAUAGGUUGCAACAAUUGUAACAAAAGAAACAGGUUACAACAAAGUGCAUUCAGCUCAGAUUUCCAUGAUCAAAAAUCAGAAUAGACAAUUCUCAACAAUAAUAAUCUCCUGGACAUCAAGACCUACAUUCAGGUUACACAAUUUUGGACAAUGCAACUCCAUAACAACAAAAGGAGUAUGAGAAGCCAAGAUUCUAAGUAGUUUGCAUCUGUUUUUAACCUAAUCCUCAAGCUGCUGAUACAGAGGACCAACAACAAAACUUUACAGCAACAAAAACAUGUAACCAAUUCCAGGUUCUAUACCUCAGGCCCAGUUAUCUUCUCAAGAGCGUCUGUUACGACCUUCUCCAUGUCAAGGUCCUUCAUCUGCUGAAAAGGUUUCUUCAUGUCCUGCAAAUGAGCAAACACAACAAUAAUUAGAAUAACAAAAUAUAUACUUAAAAGGGGAGGUUGUGACAGUACACAGUCUAUAAGCAAGAGAGGUAAUCAUUGAUGGUAUUGACUAUCCAGUCAUCUUGGAAUUAGACUUGCUAGUCUAAGAUUUGUGUGCCCAUCACAUGAGAUCUUCAGCAAAUGAUACUAUUGAGACAUCUUGAAUACAGAAUAUGUUAAGAACUAUUAUAUGAUAUAUGCUUGGCAAGUAGAAAUCAACUUUUCUAGAGCGAUUCAGAGUAUAAACAUAAAAUUGUUAAAAGAGUAAGUAAAAGAUGUGUUUUCAUCAGUGCCUUUUUGGGUAAUGAUUUCAGUGUUAAUCCAACUCCUGAUUCCUAAGUGUAUCUCAAUGCUGAUGGCUUUUGAAAGCAAAGUAAAACCUGAAUCAGAAUGUUACUACAGUUUCUCCCAAAUCCCAAAGUAAAUACCAGAGCUGUGAUAAUUGCAAGCAAUUCAGAUAAUUCAAGAAACCGUCCCAAAAUCUGUUGUUGUUCACAAGGAGGAUUGCAUCCAAGAUAAAAAUAAAAGUUUUUCCCUGAUAAUGGAAUUCCACAAGCAUCAACGGGAACUUGAUAUAGUAUGAAGGUUCUCCACGGGUCAAAGUAAUGUACAUAAUCAAACAGGCAGACAUAACAAUUAAACUCUCUCACCACCAAGGAUUACCACACUCUAAUUAUAAUAAGUGCCAAACAAUAAUGACCUCCAAAUUCCAAAAUGUACCUCUAUCUUAAAACAAAAAGAAUGUCUAGUAUUUUUACUGACGGAGUUUCCAGCUUUAGAAGAAACCUCAGAGAAAAUAUACCAACAUAGUUUACCUAACAUAUAAUAUACUUGAAGAAUUUGAAAAAACACAUAAGGAAAAAAUCAAUAAUGUGUCCAGUGGAAUAAUGGUACACUAUCUGAGUGAAUUAUGGCCAUUUUCAAUAUAUAGCCAGGUCCUCUUUCGGUAUAGGUGGUUAUCAAACUUUACCUGCUGAGCCCGCAUGCACUUGCUAUGUUAUUUCACAUAGAAAAGAACCUUCAUGUUAUUCUGAUCUUUACUUGGUUAAAAAUAAGUUUGAUUGACUCUAUUUUUCUUUACCAAAGAUUGUGGGACAUCUAUCUCUGCCAUAAGUCCAUGAUUUCUUCAGUAAUAUAGAUAUGCAAAGCAGCAUUAACGCUAAACCCUAACUGCUGUGAUGUGUCCACUAUAGGAAAAAAGAUAUAAAAAAUAACCUACGAUGAAAAAUCUUCAUUCCUUUGAACUGUAUUAAGGGUAAGCUUGUACGCAAGGAAUUCAAAAUAAAAAAUAAAAAGAAUCCUUGGUGGACACCUAUUAUUUGGUCUGUUCGGAGGCUUAGAAUUGUAAAGAGUAGGAUUAUUAAUGGAAACAAUUCCUUUCCCCUCUGGUAAAAAGACAGAACUGAACCAAGAAAGUCUUUUUCCUUGCUUUCCUUCUCUAGACUUCCAUACAUAGUAAUCCCUGCUUAUUUUGUUCAAGUACAAGCCUUAUCUAUUUUUGUGACACUUUACUAGUCUUUAAAUGCCUUCUUUUAAGUUCUCUGUAGUCGAAGACACUAGUCGUAUCCAUGUCUUUCCUUAAAAUCUUAUGCACUAGUUUUAUCUAUUUUUGUGGAACUAAACUAGUUAAUAUGUCUAUCUUCGAAAUUCUAUACCAAUGCCUAUAGAGAGAAAAAAUAUAUAUAUCCAAUCAAGUUGAUUCCUGUCUAUUGAACUUAAACCGUACAUAAAAAAUUCAGUUCUAUUUAGUUCUAGAGACUAGAACAUUUAAAAUGUGUGAUAUGGAAAAGCAAGAAAAAAGAUAAGAAGAAUAGGAUAUGGUAAAGCAGUUACCAGAAGACUGACGAAUGGUUCUCCACCUUCUCGUACCUCAAAGCAUCCCCUCCUUGGCUGAAAGAUUAUGAAUUGAAAGUUGUUAGUAACAAACAGACCAAGAGGAAAUAAAACCCCUUUCAGGGCAAUAUAAUGGUGAAAACAAGGCGGGGAAAAUAUUAUACUAUGACCAACAGACAGAAUUCAAAACUCAAAGUACAGUCCUAUCACAGUAAUAAAAUAUUAAAAAGGGAAAUGGUUGUAAUAUAGAGAUAAAAAUAUCCCGAGAAUAUCUUCAUUUCAAAGGUAUAUAAAAUACAGAUAAUUUUAUGGAUCAGUGGUAGAUAUGACAAUCUCAUGACAUAAGGAAGGGCCGAGCCUAGGGACUCGGUGAGAGCCAAGGCGCUUCAAGACCCCCAGAGCAAGAGCUUACUCGACAGUCUAGGUGCAUUUUAUUGUAAACAGCAGAGUACAUUUUACUCUAAACAGUAGGAUAUGAUUCAGGCGCGCUUGACUACAUGGACUAAUUGUACCCCAAUCGUGAAGAUAGAUGGACAACUCAUUCAUAUUCUCAUUUUAAUGUGAAUCUUCAAAAUUUGGCAAUGCUUAAGAAAUAUCCAAUACCCAGUCCAAACGCCAGGUCACAGGUGUAAGUUCCAGCGUCCAUCUUUGAUACACCAAUGAUCGCUCACAGUUCCUAAUUCAAACCUAACCAUUCUGAAGAUAGCUUGAAAUCUAUCUUUCAAAAUCAUAUUAUUCAACAAUCUAACCAUCCAGAAUCGAAUUAUAAAGCUGACAUGCAACUAUAUCUAACUAUUUAAACACACCAAUGUUACUAAAAAAAAAAAACUAACAAGCACAAUUUCAACUUCAGUAAAACGCACUAGCAUAUGUAGUUGGAUAGUCAUAUUUUGCUUUCAAUAUGUCAAGUUGUGUGAAUCACACCACUUUACGACUACAUUUUGAGUACUAGUGAGAAACACACGAUUCGCUCAUUCUCUUGUACUACGCCUGUUUUUCCUCUCCUUUUUCUUCUUUUGUCCCCAUAAUUCUAGUAACAAAGCCAUUAAAUAAAAGGACAUCAACAGUUAUAAAUCUAGACUUAUCAUAACAAUGACCACAUGGCGAUAGCAUUAUUAUAUGUCAAACACGAUUAAAAUAUUAAGUUGCAAUUUAGUAAUUUUCGGUAAAUUAAAUGGUAAACAAGGGGGUCCAAAAGGACAAGAUCAACUUAAUGAAGAACCAACUUCAUUGUGAUUAAUUAAACAUACCUUUUCUGGAUUGAGCAAUACUUUGAUACCAGGGAUAGCUUUCUCCAAGGCGUCCUUCACUGCAGUAGCCGUUUCCUUAAAUGUUUUAUUUUGUGUGCUACAGCCAGAAUAAUGCAAAAUCCAAGAUAUAAGUAAUGGACAAAAGGUGUGGUGAAUAAAGCAUUUUACACAAUUCAAUAAAUUAAUAGGAAAACAAAGGUAGAAGACUGAGUUGACCCAAUAAACAAUACUUAUCGAUAGUAAUAGUAAUUUUCUUGUGGAUGGUAUGCAAACAAUAUUUGUUAUAUUUGAUAUUUCUCUUUAUUAUUGCUAGGCUGCUAGCACUAUUACAAGUAUUACUGUAUUAGUAAUAUUUACAACCAUGUAUCCUCUCAUAACAAUUUACUACAGAUGCAAACAAUAUUCAGUAACGUCCCAUAGUCACAUAACAAUUUAGUGAAGAUGUACUAAAAACGACAAUUCCAGUAAACAGAUUGAUGAUAAUGACCAGACUAGGACUUCUUUGGAGUUUACAGUCAUCUGAUAUAUGUUGUUUCUAACAGCAUAUAAGGAAUCACAUAGUUUAACUGAUGAAAUCCGAACAAAAAAUUAAAAAGGAACUUUGAAGAAACAUCAUCGAAAACAUUGAUUUUUCUUAAGCAAGGAAGAGCAACAUUUUAGCACUCAAGAACCUAAAAGAUAAAUUGUCACAAAGAAAAAUCAAAGAAAUCCUUGAAAAUAGCAAUAUAUUAACAUCAAUAACAACAUUCUAUAUUUCUAUCACUCAGACCAUAAACAAGCAGACAUUCAUAGAUUUUCUUGCAAAUACAACUAGAUCCAGUUCUUGAACAAAGAAAAUGCAAGAUUUUAACCAAAACAAAACAUUUAGGUUAACAAACUGAAAUUAGUGCAAAAACACAACAAAUCGGAAAAAGAAAAAGAGAAAAUACUACCAGUGUUCAAUCUCGAUGGUCUUCACAGCAGAGUCACCAUCAGCAGCAGUAGUUAUCUUUGACUCAGUGUCCUCUUCUUCUUCUUCUUCUUCUUCCUCCUUGACAGUGGUGUCUUCAGCAAGAGUUUCAGAACCUUGUUCUUCUUCAGCAUCUACCUUCUGUUUUUUCGAAGCAGUCUCUGAAGAAGAUUUCCUAACUCUCUUCUUCUUUGGAAGAUCUUCUAAAGUCAUGAAACGAGCUGAUUUAGAACUAGCAGCAGCACUUCGAGUUAGUCGAGAUGCGUUUCGAGUAUUCAUCUUUGGUGAUGGUGAACCAGUUGGUUUAUUUUUCGGCGCCAUUGAAAGAACUGCAACACAAACAAGUUAUUUCCAAGUUAAAAUUACACCUAAAAGAUCAAGAAAUUGAAAACUAAACAUCGAUUUAGUGAAAAGAGAUCUUUCUUACCUUCAAGAUGAAUCUCUAAUCGAACAGAAAAAAGCCCUAGAAAUUUCUUGGAGAAGAAGAUGAAGAGAAACAAAGAAAGAAAGGGGAAAAGGAGUGAAAGUGUGAGUGAGAGAGAAAGAGAAAGAGAGAGGGAGUGUGUGUGUUUUCUAGAGUGGUAGCCUGCAGGAUUAUAUGGUGAGUCAGAAAGAAGGUGUGUUCUUUUUUGGUAUAUCCCGCCCAAUUUAUCAAGAAAUUUUGACCAUGCGUUGACCACUCUUGGACUAAACCUUUAUCAGUAUCAUGAAUACAUGAUUAAAAAUCAAUGGUCACUGGGAAUGUGGGAGAUUUCACAAGGUGGAGUAGCAAAUCCACCUUUGCUCUUUCUAGCUCCAAAAUAAGUUUUCCGACUGGGAAUGUGGGAAAAGUCAUCAAGGUGGAGGAACACCUUUGAGGCCACCACCUUAUAAAUGAAUCCGACAAUGUCGUUAAACCCUCGUUAAACCCAAACAAUAGUUAUAAAUUAUAAUAUUAUGGGCUUAUGGCUACUAUUUUUAGUAUUUUUACGACCUAAUUAAACAAAAUUUGAAUAUUUAAGUUUCAAUUAUACAAAAUACCCUUUCUCUUUAAAAAAAAAAAUAUCAUCUCUAUCGAAUCUUUCAAUUUUAAGAAAACACAAACUGAGUCAGAUUUCUAAAGUUUUUUCCAUUUUUCUCUAUACGAGAGGUUUUGUUUAAAAAUGAAUACAUUUUAUAGUGAAACUUAGUAAUUCUUUAUAACUUCGGAGGGAUAAUGCACAAUUUCAAAUGCUUAAGAAUAUGGCUUUUAAUGUUCAUAUAAUAAUGUAAUUGCUUGUUCUGAAACAUAAAGUAAGAAAAGAAAUAUAUGUGAAUUAGAUUUCAAAAGAUUUUUGUAUCUCGAAUGCAAUAACCACCAUCAGAAGCCCAAAAUCUACCUUAUCAUUAGAAGAAGCCCAAUUCUCUUUAAGACUUCUAGAAGAUUUUCUGAAUUUGACGGUGGAAUUUGAAGAUAAAUACAACAAAAAAACUCACAUAGUUGUGCAAUUUUCCCCAAGUUCAUCUAAAACCAUAUUAACUUUUUCAUAUUUUUCCGUUAUUUUAAUUAAAUACCUCAAAUCAAUAUUUAUGAGGUUAACAUUGGCACGGUUAUGACAUUAAUGUCGAUCAUGGAAGCUAAACAAAGAUUUAAGUUAAAAAAUAUUUUACCAACCACAAACAUAUAAAACAAAAGGUAAAAAUUGUGGAUUCUCAACACAAUUUCAAGAAAGUUCGAAAGAUGUAUAGUUUGAAUUUUGGUUAUUUACAUUAGGUAAUAUAACCAAAAAUUAUAAAAACAAACAAUCCAUUAAAAUGUAUAAGGAAUAUGAUAAACCUCAUAUAUAAACGAUUUUUUAGUUUAACAUCACACCAUUAUAACUGCAUAUAAUAAUAGAAAGUGUCAAAUAACAUGCAAUUUGCAGUAACAAAAUCACUAAUGUGUCGAGGAAUUGUAUACUGAAAAAAUUAUGUUCGUAUAAUUGUGCGAUUGUGAAUAAAAUAAACAUUAUUAAUAGUGUUUCCUAAUUUAUUUUUCAGUGUUUAAUGUUUUUUUUCUUAGUUAUGAAGGCUAAGCAACCUUAAAUUGUUCAAAUGUUGAUGAACCUUUUCAUCUCUUAUAUUGUGAAAAUGAAUCUAUAACUUUGAAGUGAAAACAUGUUGAGCACGACCCUAUUUUAGAAACUUCGAUGUGUAAAUUUUUCAAUUUGAAUUCAUAUACAACGAAACCAUAUACUCAUAGCGAGAAAUAUGUCUGAACUCCUUAAAAGCAAAUAUGUUGAUAAAUAUAAUUGGUAAACUGAAUCCAAUCUUUAACUCAUCUACAACGAGACCACACAUUCGUGGUUAUGAGAGACAGAGGAUGAGCGUUGGCGUAGAGUUGGAUAUAUCAACCUCCCACUGGGAAUGCUCACAGAGUUGUUUUAUUAUAAAACAACAUAGUAAAAUUAAAAAUAUAUUUAUGGCUCUCACAUUUUUUUUUUUUUACUAUCUUCUCAUUUUUUUUCAUCUUUCUCACGUCUCUCUUUAAUUUUGAAACAAUGUUAAAAUCAAAACGUCACUUUUAUGGGUUCUUUCUAGAAAAAAAACCCCUAAAAGUGAGGAAUCAGAUAGAAAGUUAUUCUAAAGAGAAUCGCUAAAGUUUGCCCGAUUUUAUACAAGUAAGAGUUUUCAUACCAUUAAUACAACAUAGCAAGAAUGGAAUUAUAUAUCUACCUUAACUCUUCUAAAGCUAGUAACUCUCUAAGCAUAAAUUAAAAUUUUGAUUAACAACAUAUGUAGUUAAACAAGUCAUUUCGCUCUUAAAUGGGUAGGGGUACGCUCAACCCUAUUUGCCAAUAAAAAAAAGAAGUCAUUUCGCUAUUAGGGUGCAACCCAUUUACGUAUUGUACGUGAAAAUAUAAAUUAAGCUUUGAAGUGGUCCACUUAUGAAUAUCGUAAAAAUACGAAUUUGACCUCUUUAAAUUUUAUAUUAAACUAGAUUAAAUCCAAGAACUGUAUUUUCACUUUUUUUUUGUUCAACUAAAGUUACACGUUUUCAUUCUAUUAUGCAAGAAAAUAUGUGUGCAUAUGGGCUAAUUUGGUGUUGCCACAUAUAUUUUGUGUAUGCAAGAUCCACAUAAUUAUAAUUAUAUGUACAUAAAUGGGUGGUUUUAAUUUUUUAAUUUCUUUAAUAUGUAUGUGUUGUCUGUUGUAAUCUUUGGUCUAAACAUUUCAAAGAAUUGGUUCUCUUUAUCUUGUUUUGGUAUAUAGAGGUAGCAUUUUAUUUUAUUUUAUUUUAUUUUUUUGCGGGUGGGUUUAGGGGGUCUGUGCAGUUUCAUUAGUUUCUAUAAGUAGUGGUGAGAUAAAAAGAAAAUUUGGGAUUCGAGCUUUGUGGAAAUCUUUCCUGCUUUAAUAACGAGAUUGAGUUUCGGUUAUUUUGUAAAAAUGGAAAAAAAUGAAAGAAAUGGAAGAAACAAAAGAUCAUGGGUAUGAUGGCGGCGAUGGGAAGGCCGGAAAAUUUUAUAUGUGUAGCCCACAACCAUGUGGGACUGUGGGACCAAUGCUGUUUCGCCACCUGUUUAAAAUUAUUAGUCAUAGUUAACUACCGUUAGACUGACGUUAGACUAAUUAAUUGGAAAGAAAAUAUUAGUGCUUAAUAUAUGGAAUCGGUUGUUAAGAAAAUAUAUCAUAAAGAUUCCUUAUGAAUAUUUCCCUCUCUUCUUCUUUUUUUUCCCUCCAUAUUCUUAAUCAGUUUUUUUUAUAAACAAAAAAAUUAAUACUAGAAAAAAAAUCUCCAUAGUCUGAAAAAAAAAAAAAACCCAUUUUUGUUAUGAAGUUAAAACUUAGCCAUGCAACAACUAACAAUUCACUUUAGAUAGAAAUAUUCAUAAAACUUCAAAAAGUUUAUAAGUACUUUAAGUAAAGAAGUAGCUACAAGCCCAAAAAUAUGUACUCCUACAAUUCUACAAAGGAUUGUUUUGACUCUCAAGCCACUAAGACAAACAACCAGAACCCAAGCCAAGCAAGUGCAUAGACUCUGCAACACCUCACUACAUAACCCAGUCAUCUAACAUGCACAUCUGCAGCAAAACAGUUCAACAAUUCCAGUUUAAGCAGACUGCAGCAAUCAACCCCUGCAGCGUACAAUAUCAGCAAUCUACAUCACAUAGUUCCAGCAAACUACGUCAACCUUCAACAGCUUCACAGUAACACCAUCACCCCUCUUCACCUGCCUCUGAGUUCUGCUGCCUUGCCUUGAUUGUAACUAGCUGUCAACACCCAUUAACAACCUCUUAGUAACCAUUUAUAUAUCUCAAGACAUUUCAAGACAAGCAUAUUGAAUUAAACUUCUAAGUAAUUUGUUAAAAAAAAGGGUAAUAAGUUAAUAACUACCUUAUAAUAUUUUAGUUGGAAUUGUGUAGUUCAGAGAAGUGGAGUUGCCUUGCAGGAGUUGCCCUUUGAACAAAAUCUGAUCCUUGUUGAGAUAAAAGUUCAACAAAACCCUGUAUAGAUCGAGGAGCUAAAUACAUAAAUAUGCAAACCUUCAAAAUAAUAUCUCCACUUCAAACUUUAAUAAACUACCUGUGAUGAGUAAGUGUAUCGAUUCGAAUACGGUAGCUCUAAAUUGCAUGAAGGGUGACUUUGACUUGUAUUAUAAAAGUGGGAGCUAGAAUGAUCUUGAUUAGCACCAACAUGAAGUUGUGUUCUUUCGCCAAAGUCAGAAGUUUUAUAUGAUGUGUUACUCCCCAAUCCAGUUGAUAUCUAUAAGAUAGUUAUUUUGAAAAAAUAAUUACAUGUAUACAUUAUUUCAUAUAGGUGUUAACUUAUAUUAAAAAAUAGUUAAGAAGUCAAUUACUAAACCUGUGAAACACAAUUAUAGUUGGAUGGUCUUGGAGCAGAAUGGACUUUUAUUAAAUUAUCAACUUCUUUUUCCUGAGCUUUUCUCCCUUUGCUACCUAGAUAAGAAUAAUAGUAUAAACCAUUUCCAAAGUUAAAUACUUAUAAAUAAAAACAUUUAACAUAUAGAAAAAUAAUAUGAACUAAUUUGUAAACCUUAAUUACCUGCAACCUUUUUUUUUGGUUUUGUAGUCUUGGAAUUCCUUUUCAUUUUAUCGUAAAAUGCCCUCUUUCUACCAGGAACUUCUCCUUUGUGAUUUUUACGUGGGGGAGCAAGCAAAGUUAUGUUUGCAUAAGAAUAUUCAGCAACACCUUGUUUAACAAUAGAAGAAGGAUUUUCAUCGUUGACACCAAUAGAAGGGAUAUUAUUAUCUUCAAGAGGACCUGAACUAGCAUCUAAUUCCUCAAGUACUCUUUUCAAUCCACUAAUGGCUACUAGAGUUUGUGCUUCAGUUAUUGCACCUUUUACAACUACCUUCUGAGCCAUUCUUGAUACCUUACUGUAGCGUAGUGAUAAAGCAGGAUUUGUAUCAGCUUUUAAUAUGUUACCACAUGGAUCAAUGAUAAUAUCAGGACUUCCAUUUUUACUCCACCUCACUAACAGAUAGUGAGAAGGCAGUUUUGGAAUAUUUUGAAUUCGCAACACUUUCAAUGCAUGUGAACAAAGUAUACCGGUGAACUCAAAUUUCCUACAUGAACACUUCACCAUGUAAUCUGGAUAUACUAAUUCAACACUACGAGUCCUAGCACCAUUAUAAGAAGAUAUCUCGUAUAUGCACACUCCAUUAUCAUCACUGACUAAUUUUGCAUCCAAAUCAAAAACUGCCUUCACUUCUUCUUGGAAUCGAUUAAACAUUUUCCUGGUAUAGAAUUCUGAUGCUUGGUGCUCUACAGGCCACUUUGACACUAGGAUUGGUGCUGUUGUCUUUGACUUUAAAUCUGCAUUUGCUUCUUUUUGAUGCCGAAGAGAUAUUGCUUUGUCAAAUUGGUCCAUAAAUUCCCGAAGAAUCUGUUUUCUCUUAAAAUACUUUUUGAAAUAAUUGUUCAUGCUUUCACUUCUCUGUGUACUUGCCAUACCAGCACAAAAAUGAGCAUGUGCAUACACUUGUGCCCAUUUCUCACGCAAUUGAAAUAAACUAUCCAGCCAAUCAUCUUCUUCUAACUUGUAUUCUUCAAGUAACCCCUCCCAAUGCGAUAAAAACUCAUUUUCUGUUUCAGCUUCAUAAAUGCACUUCUUAAAAUCCUUGCUAAAUGAUUCAAAUUCACUGAAUACAUGAGAUAAAUUUCUCAAAGCAUUUUGAUAAAUAUGCCAUAUACAAAGCCGAUGAUGUGCUUUAGGCAAUACUAACUUAAUAGCUUUGACUAUUGCAAACGCUUGGUCAGUGAAGAUUGUUUCCAUUUGUUUUCCUCCCAUUACUUUCAAGAAGGUUUUAAACACCCACUCAAAUGUCUCUGUGGUCUCAUCAUUCAACAAGGCACUACCAAAGAUGACGGUUUGCCCAUGAUUAUUCACACCUACAAUAGGUGCAAAUGGCAUAUCAUAAUCAUUUGUCUUGUACGUUGUGUCAAAGCAUACGACGUCACCAAAACACUGAUAAUCCAUUUGUGAUUUAGCAUCACACCAGAAACAAUUCCGAAUCUGAUUAUUAUCAUCCAUUUGAAUUUCAAAAAAAAAGGACUUGUUAUUUUUUUCCUUUUGCUUGAAAUAUUCGUAAAGAAGUUGUCCAUCACCUUUCUUCAAGAACUCGAUCCGUCUUCUUUGCACUAUAUUAUCACAAUCUGAUUGUAGAAUAUUGAUAUUUUCAUAUCCCCCUGAUUCGUUACACAUGUGAUAAUAAAUUUCAGAAGACCCAAUGCCUGCAGAUGCCAUAUUGUAAAUAAGGCCCUUUUGCGCUGGAUGUACAUGCCUAUGUGACCUCAACAUCUUUGCUCUACUUGGAUGUGCAAGUACAUGGUUAUGUUGUUCAACAAACUUUGUAACAACAUAAUCUUUAGAUGUUGUAUCAAGUUCAAUUUUCAACUGAGCUUCACAAUUGAACCUUGAUUGAGCUCGUGGCUUAGUCGGAGUCCCAUCCGGAUGUUUUUCUCGUUCACCUUGACUUGAACAACAAAAUACCCUCCAUAAAAGUGUUUUGUCUUUCUUACUACUGUAUUUCCAGUGUCUUCGAAUACUAAAUCCAAUCGACCUAGCAUAUGCAUUAUAAAACUCAUAUGCUUCAUUCUCUGAUUUAAAUUUCUUGCCAAGUACCUGCUUAGUCGAAGUAGCAUUAUCUCCACCUUGGUUUUGAUCUGAUGGUGUCGUUGAUCGUCCAACUUCUGAAAUAUCUUCUUCACCUUCGAUUCCCAUCUUGAAUAAAAACAUAAAAAUUAGCUAGUAUGAACCCUAUGAACCCACUAUUUUCUAAGCAACUUGGUUUCAAUUAAACAAAUAAGACCUUAUGAACCCGCAAAACUUAAAAUUCUACCCUCUACAAAUAGUAGGAGAUAAAUAACA